AAAGUUUAAGUAUACCAAUCAACUGAAGCCAAUUAAUAACAAAAUGCUUAUAGCAAAAGAGAAUGUCACGCCCCGAGACCCACCUAUUUGGUCGGAUUCGGGCACGCCAACAGACUGCCGAACGGACAGAGUCUCCCCUGUACGUUCGAGGCGUCGCAAUCAAUACAAUACAAGAGGUUCCAACUAGGAACAGUAUUCAACAAGCAAUUGCAUAAGGAAGUAUCAAAAACAUAAACAACUAAGUUAUUACAAGUAUUCGUCUCACUUGCAAUUUAAUAUUACAUUUUCCUUUACAUAUUCAUCUUCCAAAUACAAUCGAUUAUUACAAUUUCAUUACAAGUUUGUUUCUUUGCCUUCCAAACCCCUAAGUUAGGCUAACUUAGGGUACCGCUAUCUCUGGUCUCAGUGGUAGGGCGCUAUCUACGGAGCUACGCCCUUUCCUCGCGCCGCCGCGCCGCUCGCGUGUGAACCUGUAACCCCCAAAACCACACGGGGUGUGAACUAUAUAAAUAUAGUUCCCAGUGGGUACAACCACCCAAGGGAAAAGUUCGACCCACCAGGUCCAAGGAGGCACUACAACAUGUUAGUCCAACAAUAUACAACAGAUAUAUAUAUUCCAAUAUUGAAAUACAUGUUAUGCCUCACAAUAUGCAAUAUGAAAGUCAUGCAACUAUGCAACUAUGUAGUUCACUAGUAGAUCCAUUGAUACUACUUCAAUCUUGCUAUUCGUAGCUCAUAUCAACUAGCUCUAAGGUUCUACUACCUUAGUUCCACCGCUCAAUCCAAUUAGUAUCUAAGGUCUCUACUGCCUUAGAUCUUGCCAUAUCUCACUAGCCUUUAAGGUUUCCAUUAACCUAAUCAAGCUAACCACCCGACUCGGCCUCGAGUCAAUCAUCCGCGGACUACAGCCCACUGGCUGCAUCUCUACCACAGCCUGGCUGCCAUCACAGCUCACCGCACCUCUUGACUUAGCCAUCUGGCGGCGAACUCAUCGCACCUCACCCAACAAUGGCUCAAGUCAAUUCUGGCGGCAUCAUCCAAUAAGCUAAAUAGGCGAGGAGAACCACACAUACCCAUUUCAAGCUUAUUCUCAUGGCAUUCCGGGCGAGGAGAACCACACAUACCCGUUGAAUCAUUGACGAGCGAGGAGAACCACACAUACCCGCAGUUCUGAUUCUAUUUGCCAUCUCUUUUACCACAAGUCUCCACCGCUUCUUCUGCUACCACAUCAUUAGGGAUUCUGGAAUCCAUUUCCACAUCUCAGGUCAUCUGCACCCUAAACUGUCGAUCUAUCUAGGCUCGACCCAUAAACAUCCUAGUGGCUGCUACCACUCCAGUCAACAACCUAGGUUCGACCACGCUAGGUUUUAUGUCAUCUCUACCUAGAUUUUGACUCUAGGUUCACUCGUUCAACCUAUGUUUACUAACACUAGGUUCGAUGUCAUUCAAAUCCAACCUAUGUUUAAUAACACUAUGGUCAAUGCCACUCGAUCUAGUAUAUAGAUGUCCACAUGCACAUUUCAAUUAACAUAAUCCUCUAUAUGUUAACUUGCAUCCAUGUAGCAUUUCCACAACAUGCUCAUCAUGCGUUCAUCUAGCAUUUUCCUCAAUGUAUCGACAUACAUAUCUCAAUGGUAGGUACUAAACAUCAAGCAUAAUAAGAUUCAUGCAUCUAUAUUAUCUCAUGCAACCUACCACUACACAUGUAUGCAUCAAUAGUAAACAUUACUCUUAGACAUAGAGGCGAUCUAGUCGCUUCGAUGAGCACAACCCACCUAUUAUUGCGUUCUGAUUGUUCGUAGUUACUUACAAUCGGCCUCCCGCGGCACCCGUAUCCGGUUCAGCCCGAUCUUGCAAUUGCACACCAACUGUGCACCAAAUCGCGCCCCGAAAAUUAUAGGUCUACAGCUAGCCGCCACGGUGCUCGGGAUCCGCUCUCGUGAUUUUUGGACGUUGCCUCGGCCCUCCAGGCGGAAACGAAGCCUAAACGUCUGUUUCUUUAAUAACUUCGCGUAGGCUCGACGAAUCGCCGAACCAACUUCGCCAACGCAUUCGUAUACCUAGCAAUUAGAUUUCUAUAGGGUUAAUUUAGAUCAAACCCUAACAUAUAGCAAAACCACAUUUUGGAGCCCUAGAUGCCACAAUUGCAAAAUCCAUCAUUUAGUCUCUAGAUUCAUGCAUUAUCCAACUAUUUAGCAUCUUAGGAGUCAUCUAAAAUCAAUUCUAGAGUUUAUAAAUCAAACCCUAGCUACUUGCUAUUAAAGAGCAUCAAGCUUACCUCUAGAAGCUUGCUCUUGGGCGAAGGAAGAAGAUGAAGAGGAAGAAAAUCCACCUUCUUGACUCCUUCUCCACCAUCUUCUUCUCCUUGCUCCACUUUUAGAGAGAGAAGAGAAAUCUAGAGAGAAGGAGGAGCUCCUCUCUCUAGCUCAUGUGUGUGUGUGUGCGCGUUUGGGUUGAGAAAGGAAGAAGAAGGGUUAAAGCCCUUCUUCUAGAAGCAACCCCACCACUUUACAAGAUUGCCCCUGCUCAAACUGGGCAUUUUCGGGUCUCAGGGACCGGUCCUUGGCUAGAGAGACCGGACCCCGUAGGUUCAGAAUUUCAGCAUUUUCCAGACUUAUCCAAAUUUCAGCCUUUUUGCCGUUUCUUCUCCGUUUUCGCUCGUUUUUGCUCCGUGAGUCUCCGAUUCGUCUCAAAUCGCACCGAGACUCCCAAUACAUGUUUUCGAGCGUGUUUUCAUCAUCUUUUCAUCCACGCUAAUGCCGGAUUUAGUCCAUGGUCCAACAUAGCAUUUCGAGUUUCGUUUUCGCGCACGACGCGCACCGAAAGCACCCGAAUGCACCCGAACUUCACCGGAACCAUUCCAAUGGCUCUCCAAACCAAUAUACACCGUAACUUCAUAAUUUUUGAAGUUCGGUACCUUACAGAGUAAAUAUGCCAAUCUAUUAAGCCGAAUAGGAACAAAAAAUUUAUUUAUACUAUUUGGGAAGAGAAGAAAGUUUAGAUAAAAAAAUCCAAUAAAAAAUAAUAUUCCACAAAUCAAAACAAUCAAAGGCUUAAAUUUUCUUAUAUAAGCUAUGUAUUUAUUCCUCAAAAAAAUAAAGAUAUUUUUAUAUCAUUAUAUAAAUAAAUCUAAUUUUGUCAACAUCCUUACGUCAAAUAACAAAAAUAGUCAUAAAAGAAGAAAAAAAAUAAGCAUAUGAAAAGUUAAACAAUAUUUUUUUAAAAGAGACAGUAAAUAUAAUACAAAAUUUUACUAACCAAUAUGGUAAAAAAUAAAAAGAAGUACAUAAACAAACGAUACCAUUGCUGUUGCUUCUCCUCUUUCGCCGGAGUACUCGUCCACCCUGUAGCACACUAAAUGUAAGGAAGUGAAUUCUCGAAACUCGAGGAUUAGACUUCGACCAGAAUCGACUAUUCGUCGAGUGAGUAGGCUUCGGAAGGUCCGAAGGUGUUUAUAAUGCAUAAAGUGCAUUAAGGAGAGGUCCGCGAGAGCACCAGUGCAAAACUUGCACUGGAGCAGAAAUGCUCUCGGGGACCGGUCCCUAGCAGGGAGGGACCGGUCCCAUCAGGCUGGGUUGUGGAGGUCUCUGAUGAGACCGGUCCUUGGUGGGCAGGGACCGGUUCCCGAACGUUGGCCCGGCGAGACUUAGCCAAAUUUGGCUAAGUCCCGAGAAUGCAGCUCUCGGGAACCGGUCUCUCGGACAAGGACCGGUCUCCCGGGGACCGGUCUCUCAGGUAAGGACCGGUUCCCGAACGCGAAAUCCCCUCUGCUCGAAGUGGCAGCCUUCGGGGACCGGUCUCCCCGAGCUGGGACCGGUCCCUCACUGCGAAAAUGCCCAGAGAGGGCUGAUUCUAAAGAUGAAAAGUUGAGGGGGCUAUUUGCAAAAUGGCCUUUAAUAGGGCUUGGGGACCCCUCUCUUUCCCUCAGUUGCUCUCUUCCCCUCUCUCUCUCACUAUUCUCUCUCUCUAGGAAAGAAAAGAAAAGAAAGAGAAGAAGGAGAAGAAGGGAAAAAAGAAGAAGAAAGAGAAGGAGAAGACUAAGAAGAAGAGGAAAGUCAUCUUCUCUCCCUCUCCCUCAAGCUUGGAGCUUAGGUUAGAGGUAAGCUUCCAACCCUUUAAUGGAAAUUCUAGGGUUUUGGGUUUUUAUGGUUUAGAAUUGGUUCAAAUGGAACCUAUUGGGAAUGAAUAGAUGGUUCGAGCUCAAAAUCGAAGCUCGCACCGUGGAUUUCCCUCUCGUCGCCAUUCUAGGGCACGGAUUGGGAUUUUGGGAAAUAUAGGGUUUUGAUCGAUCUUAAUAGGUCGUAAACCAAAUUGCUAGGUCUCGAAACGCGUCGGCGAAGACGGUUUGCCGAUCCGACGAGCGGGUGCGGAGUUAUCGCCGAAUCGGGUACUCGAGGGCUCGCUUUGCCCCGAGGAGUUUAAGCGGCGUGCAAGAACCGCAACGUCGAGCUUUCUACUAUCGCAGCAUCGCCAAGAGGUGGGUGGUGUCCAUCCCGAAGCAAUCGGGCUCCCUCCUAUGUCUUAGUACAUUUUGACCCCGCAUCUUGUAUUAUUGCAUUAUAGGAUUAUUAUGCAUCGCCUUUCCUUAUGCCUUCCUUGAUGAUAUUGUAGCAUGUACUGGAUACUGAAUAUAGAGGAUUGGUGAGGAUUGGGUCGAGUCUUGUGAAUCCUAUAUUGUAGAGAAAAUAAUGAACAAAGAACGAGUGGCAUCUAGUCGAUAGUAAACAAUGGACGAGUGGCAUUUAGUUGAUAGUAAGCAAAAGAACAAAUGACACAUAUGUGAGUCAUAGUGUAUAUGAAACCUAUGAACUAUAUGAUGAUUGUGACCCUAGAGGACAGGGUAUCCUCAAGCUUAGAGGAUGGGAUCAUGCUCACGGUCUGUUUAAAUCUUGUGAUGGAAGCCCCACACAAGUAGUGCGCUCCGGAUGUUGGUCACGCCAGGGAUUGCCUAUUUGGCCCCGCCAGACGGUCUCGGGUCCGUAGUGUGAGUUAAUUCUCCCUACGUGUCGAGAUGGCUAGUGAGCUGUAGGCGAGCCUCCGGGUAAGCCACGAGAUUGAUGGACAAGUAAAUGAGGUAACAAUCGAGUGAAUAGCUUUAUCUUUGGACAUGAUAACCGGGUAGCUGCUUACCUAUUUCAUUGUACAUGCAUCAUAUAUUAUGAUUGGGCAUAGUAGAGUAGCUUUACUUCUGUCAUCUACCGCUUUCCUUAUCUAUUUAUCUAUCUAUUGGUAUAUCUACUUGUGCCCGCUUGGACCUAGUGGGGAGAUCGGCGGAGUCGGCGGCCGAACCCACUGGGAACUAAGGAAGUUAGUUCUCACCCCCAUUUUACUACAGGUUCCAGUUCGGGUGUCCCCGGUGAGCGUGAGGAUCGCGGUAAGGGCCCGGCGCUUUAGUAGCAUUAGCUACCUCCCUUUUUGCACUAGCCGUCACCCUUUUAUAUUGAGAGUAGAUGAUGUAUAGGGUGAGGUUCGAGUGAUUGUAUUUAUAUUUUGGAUGAAUGUAAAAGAUGUAAUUGAAUGUAUUAAGUCAAAUGGAUGUAAUAGAUAGCUCUUCUCUCUUUGUGUACUUGUAUAUGUUUCUAUACUUGUAUCUUGCUCUCGUUUGUCGCACUGGUGGUGCUUCUUGAUCGUGUAUUUAUGAAUUGAAUUCCUGGGUAAAUUCUCAUACAUGAUCUGUUGGUUGCCUUGGGCGGACAGGGGAGGUCCUGUCCGUUCGGCGUCUGUUUGACGCGCCCGGGCCGGACCAAAUUGGAGCGGUCACGGGGCGUGACACUAAACUUCAACAAAUUGCGGGGUUUUAGUGAGAAAACCAACACCUGGUGUUGUUAGAAAGACUUUGGUAAUGCAGAAGAUGUAUAGUGCGUUUCGGAUGAGUUAGCGCGAAAAUGAAAAUUUUGAAUUAAUCUAUACCUAAGCUUUUAUAGCCUCGGGGUCCGGACCUUGAUACUCUCUUUAUUGUACCAAAGAUCAAAGUCCAGACCUUGAAAGAGGAUCCGGGCCUUACGUGCGAAUUUCAGUUUGCAAGCUAUAAGGUCCGGACCUUGAGGGGAGGAUCCGGAUUCUGACUGCGCAGAACACAUAUUUGGAUAUACGGGAUUCGGACCUUACUAGAGAGUUCGGACCCUGCAUAGUUUGGGACUGUUUCAUGGGAAGUAUGAUUUCUCUCAUUUUGAGGAACCUAAAUGGAUUUGUCACUUAGUAGUAUAACCCACUUCACUUCCCCCUUCUCCUCUUAUUUGACAGUGCAAGAGAAGAGAGAGAAGUGAGUUCCCUUCCUCUUUUCCUUGGGUUUUUUUUCUCCAAACCUUUCCUAAUCCUUGGAUUUCUCCUUAUUUUCCUCUUUUCCUUGAGAUUGGAGCUUUAUUUAAGAUUGGUAACCUUCCUUCAUCCUCUAUUUGAGAGAUUUGUAAGGGUUUUGCGUAGAAAACCUAGUUUGUAGAAACUAGAGUUUAUUUUGGAAAUUUUCAAUUGUAAGCUUUUUGGGCUGAAAUUGAUAAAUGUAGAACACUUAUGAGGACUGAAAAGUUGACUAUGUAGCUAAACUCUUUGUUGAUGAUAUUUUUGUGUGUAAUUUAAUUACAUAAGCACUCGUCAAGUUUCAAGAGAAAACGAGUUAGGAUGAAGAAGUUGCGCGACCUUUACUAAUCACUUAAAGUGAAUAGUAACUCGGGUUUUUUCGGAGAGGCCAAUGAGUGGAGAUGGCUUCUGGUGCGUAUUCCACUUCGUGUAUAGUGAUCAACGGUUCGACUGUCCUAGACCCAAUAGCACUAACGGAUUUGGGUUUUGAUGCACGGUUUUCGAGAAAAGAGGUUGUAUCGCAAAAAGGGUUUUUGUUCUUUGCUGUUCUUGUGUUGUAAAACUUCUCGUGCUCCGUGCGUGUGUCUUGGAGUAGAGUGGAGAAUGUUUCAGGUACCUACCAGUGGUAGGGAAUUCAAAUUCGAGUUUGAAUUUGAGGUUUAUUGGUUUUACACUUAUAUAUAGGUGUGGUUUUCGGGAAAAUUGGAUAGGGGAUGGAUUUCGUCGCAAAUCGGCGACUAUAUCGAGUGAAACAAAAUUGUGAGUUCGAUGUCCCGGUCGUGCUGAACGCGUUGGCGCAGUCCGUUUGCAAAUCUGACAGACGGAUCUCCCGAAAAUUCAAAAUGUUCGCAAAGGGGUCGAAAUUGGCAAAACGAAAAAUUCACGAAAAGCCCCAUAUUUUAUGUACCGUUUUGCGUGAUUUCGAACGUUUAGAUGCGUACACGAGAAAUACACUCACUGUGAGGGACUUGGCUGAAAAUAUUCAUCUCUGGAGGACCAUGUUGCAAAAUGGCCAACUUAUAUGUAGGGAAAUUAGGGUUUCAUGCAUGAAACCCUAACCCUAGUAGCUCCGGCCACUAGAAAAGGGCUACAUUGCCUCCCUCUCCACCAAACCUCCACCAUCUCUGCUGUGGACCACUGGAAAGGACCCACACACCUCGAGCUCCCUCCCCCAGCCGUGGCCCCAUCCUCCGGCGACUCCCCCAGCCGAUCCCUGCCAUCCCCGCGCGCCGCCGUCGCCGUCUGGACACUUUGCGGCCGAGCUGGGUCAGCUUGGGCCGAGCCCAAGCCAUCCCUUAGCCCGCGCACUACCGCCACCUAGAACCAGCCGCGCCGCCCUCCCCCGACCUCCGGCGACUCCCUGUGCGCCGUCGCCCCAGUCCUUGCGGGCCGUCGCCGCCGCCCCGAAUUAGCUCGGGCCGAGGCUAGGUCUGCGUCGUCUCCUCGCAUCGCCGCCGCCUAGUAUCGGCCGCGCCGUCUCCGAUCGGCCUCCGUUGAACCACCACUGUCGCCCCGUAGCUCCCCGGCCACCGCUGUGGCCGCUGCGAACAGCUGAGCUUGAGCCGAGCUCAUGCGGGCUAGGGAUGCUCCAGCGCCGCCACCGCCACCUUCCAUCACCAGCCAGCGUGAGCGCCGGCUCUCCCUGGUCGGCCGCACUCGUCCGCCGCCGGAGCUCCCAGUCGGCCGGACUAGGCCCGUGCUCUCCACAGGUUCGUGUGGCUAGGGCAUCAAUGCCUGUCGUCGCCGGCCGACGUGCGCCCUAGCCUCCCUCCGUCUCCCGCAUCUGCCUUCCAUCGGUGCGCCCACCACCGAACCGCCGCCCUAGGCCCUCUCUACCAGGUAAGCUUAAAUGAAGCUAUUUUUGGGAGUUUUAGGGUUGUUCCCACUGUUCUGGCGACCCGGGGCUGUUCCGAUGCCUCCGGAGGUGAGCACGGUGAUCGUUGGUUAGUGAUGAUCAUAGUGCUCACCUCAUUUGGGGUCAACGAGCCCCGGAUGAGUGAAUUGGAAGCGUUUUGGUUUCAGUGCGCAGGGUUCGCUGAACUGUGAGUCACUCCCGCGCCUCCCAAAGUGGACAGUUGUGCUCCGAAUCAUGAGCACGGCCUCCGGCACGUCGAGACCUAUCAGCGUGUGUCUUGGCCAGCCUCGAAAAUUCUCGGUUUGUGCUAUUGAGCCGUAAAACCCUGAAAAUCACAUAAAAUAACGUGAUUUUAUAUGAUUGUAGGGACCUUUAUGCAAUUGUCCACUUCGUGGCUAAUGUGGGCAGUGUGUGCGGGUAGCGGGUGAUCUCUAGACUGAUUGUCCAAGGCCCGAGGCCUUUGCAAAAAUCGAAUAUCGAUUUCCGGUGCGUUUUUCGGCAAAAUCUACCGACGGAACGCGGUUUCGGUUCGGAUUUCUUCCGACAGUGCCUCACUGUAAUACUUUGUCGCUGAGCCUUAUUGGCUGGUCACUUACGUCGUUCCAAGGGUUCGGAGACGACGAGUGAGCGACGGUGGGUUCCAGUGUCGAAAUUGACAUUUUCGGAAACCCAGAUCGGAACGGUUAUCCGACGAUAAUCGUUCGAUGUGAGCCUUGUAUUUACUGCCAGGACACUUUAUUAUGGUGUUGUGUGGCAGCGGGUGACUCGUGGCGUGAGUCGGUGAGUUCCGGGACACUUCGUGGGUGUCACAUCCCGCUAUCGCCAAUUUGGUCGAUCCGGGCCCGUACACAGAUGCCGAACGGACAACACCUCCCCUGUCCGCCCAAGGCUCAACAAUAACGAGUACAUGUAUAAAGAAAUAAACAGUUCUCAGGAUAAUAUUUCAAUAUACAUGGCUUGCGCGAGGGCAAGCAAUAGGCACAAGUGAUAGUAAACUAACUAAACAUGCAUUCACUAUAUUUUGAACAACUUUAAAACCAAAACCAAUAACUAUAACUUCAGUUAUUUACACCAUUUACAUGCUCAUUUAUACAUCAUUUACAAGUUUUUUUAACAUGAAAUAUAUACAACAUGAAACCAAAAUGGAUAUAUGUCUAUACUCUGGUGUCUGCUAGCUAAGAUGCCGGGCCCUUGCCGCGAUCCUCGGCCACACCGCUCGCACUAGGACCUGUAUGGUUAGUGGUGUGAGAACUACUAAAAGUUCUCAGUAGGUUCGGUCGCCGACCUCGCCGACUCACUCACCAGGUCUAUUCAAGCAUAUGUAGGCAAGAAAAGUAAAUAGAUAGUAACCAGCUAUAACAUGUAACUAUACAAUGCCUGUACAAAGCUGAAAGAAACUGUAGAUAACAUAUGAAAUUUAUGCAUGCAUGCUAUGAAUAAUCAAUACCUAAUCCAUCUGUUAACCAUUUGGUUAACUAUAACUCACCAACGCAAUCCCUAAGUAUCGGGCCCUAAGCUGCCUCCCGACGGGAUCGUCUACUGGGAAGGCUUAUACGAUCAACCCAGUUAAUGACACACUCCGGAGUGCAUUUCUUGGGGGGAGCGACCACCACCAAGCCAAAACAGAAUAGGUGAGUAUGAUCCAAUCCUCACUUAGAGGAUUCAAUAACUGACGAUGCCACAAUUUAAUUUCUAACUAGCUCUUUAUGCUAGUUUUACAGUUGUAAUAUAGAUGCUAACCAAUGCUUCUAGUCAUAAUGUCACCAAGUUUACUAUAGUCAUAGUCCAUUACUAAUUCAUACAUUCAUAGGGUUCUAUGUCCAUAUUCUAGAAGAAAGAAUCUGGAAAUGAAAAAAUCAAAGAAAAAAUUAGAAAAAGAAAAAAUCAAGAAAAGAAAGAAAAAAUCAGAAAAAGAAAAAGAAUUAGGGUUUAGGGUUUAGGCACCGAUGCGUUUGUUGACCUACCAAUUAGGUUAUAACGAGAUCAAUCCCAAGAUUGAACCUCAAAAUCCAACAACCCUAAAGUUAGGUCCUUGUACAACACCAUCUUUCCCAAUUAAGUCCCUAACAUGGAUAAUCAUGGGGGAAAGUACCAUAGAAGCUCCUAGAUGCAACAACUAGAAGCAAAAACCCAAAACCUAAUUUAAAAUCACAAGAACUCACCGUAGGAGUCCAAAGCUUUCCUUCCAAGUCUUGAUCUAGCAUACUCUACACCUUGGAGAGCUUUUCUCCAAGCUUUUCUCCUCCAAAAGCCCUCUUGGUCCAAGCCCUAGAGAGAGAGGGGGAGAGAUAGGAGAGGUUUUUAGAGAGAGAGAGGGGAAAGGUUUGAGUGUGAGAGUGAGAGCAAAUGAGCUCUGACUCAUGCCCUAGCUCAAAUAACCGUUCACAUGUCACAUUUGCACACAAGCACCUCACUUUUUUAUUUUUGCAAGCAGCCCUUACUGGGCAAUUUCGGGUUCAGGGACCGGUCUCUCCCUUCAGGGAUCGGUUCCCGAGAGCUAUCCUGCAAUCUGCGCAGAAGGGGACCGGUCUCCCCCCGACGCUACCGGUCUCUCGGGACCGGUCUCCCGCCGAAGGACCGGUUCCCGAGAGCUCAAUUUCCAGGACUUAGCCGAUUUUUCACCUCGUUCGGCUGAUCAACGUUCGGGAACCGGUCUCUCACCCAAGGGACCGGUCCCCGAGAGUAAAAUUUCUGGAACUUCUCCAAAAUCGCAGUUUCACUCUCUCGGGUCCCUUUAUACUCUAUAUAUAGGCUCCAAUGCACUUCUAGCCUAUAGUAAUUUAUUCCUUUCCGUGUUUCGCGCAUUUCGACGGAACUCGGCACGACUUACGGGGAAGUAAUACGUUACACUCUAAGUCUUCAAACUUCAAAGAUCCUCCCUCAACCAAGCUCCAUCCAAGCUUCAAGCUCCAUCUAAGCUUCAAGCUUCAACCAAGGUGGAAAAGCCUCCAACAAGCAAAAAAGAGGCUUAAUCUCCUAAAAAUCCAACCAAAAAUCAAGGAAAGAGAUGGGGAGGUGUGGAGGGCUUCCUCACCUUUCUCCUUGCUGGUGCCAAGCUCAGGGGAGGCUCCUAGGGCGUGGGGAUACAAAUAGAGUUGCUACAAUAGCAAUUACACUCCUGCAGAACCGUCUGUUCAGAAUCUGUCACUGCGUACUGGUACACGGGCCCACGUACUAGUACACCUCCCACGAAAAGGCCAAACCCGAGCCUCGGGUUUGCCUCAAAACUGCCUGUGUACCAGUACACGGCCCCGCGUACCGGUACAACCAUCAACCCUGUACUGGUACAGCCAUCAACCCUGUACCGGUACACUGCCCGCUGAAGGCUACCCGAGAGCUGACCAAAAAUCCGACUUUUCUGGUUUUAGUGCUAAGCUUUAAACCUCACUUCUCGGGAUUCGAACAAUAGGUCGGAACACUGUCUACGACCCACCAGAAAGUCUGGAAAAACUCAGAACACAUCCAAUCACUCGAACCUCGCAAUUCGCAAAGGUCUAGUGUGUUACGUUCACCCCUCCUAAAAAGGAGUUUCGUCCGCGAAACUCAAAAGUAAAGUACCUCAAGCCUCCAUCUGAAAAGGAUGGGGAUAGCGCUCCCGCAGUGCGCUCUCCAACUCCCAAAUGGCCUCGCGCUCAUCGUGGUUGCUCCAAAGCACCUUCACGUAGGGAACUCACGGUUCCGCAAUCUCUUCACCUCGCGAAUCAAAAUUCUCAAAGGUUGCUCCUCAAAGCUCAAAUCAUCCCUCAGCUCCAAAGGUGUGGCGUCCAACACGUGAGCCGGAUUAUGGAUGUACUUUCGAAUGACCGAUACAUGAAAGACAUUGUGUACACCCGAUAGGUUCGGCGGUAGAGCGAGUCGAUACGCUACCGGGCCUACACGCUCCAAAACCUCAUACGGUCCAAUGUAUCGGGGGCUCAGCUUACCCCGAAUUCCAAAUCUUCUAAUCCCUCUGGUCGGCGAGACUUUCAGGAAGACAUGAUCACUAAUCUGAAACUUCAAGUCUCGUCGACGCCUGUCAGUAUAACUCUUUUGCCUACUCUGUGCUGUCAACAGUCGCUCCCUAGCAAUGCGAACCUUGUCCUCAGCUUCCUGGAGCACAUCUGGGCCUAAAGCCAAUCUUUCGCCAACUUCACUCUAAUGAAGUGGCGAUCUACACUUCCGUCCAUAGAGUGCCUCGAAAGGUGCCAUCUUGAUGCUUGCUUGAUAACUGUUAUUAUAAGCAAACUCUGCCAUCGGUAGAUGCUGCGACCAUCCUCCCUGGAAGUCAAUCACACAGGCUCGAAGCAUGUCCUCGAGAGUCUGUAUAGUACGCUCUGACUGCCCGUCACUCUGGGGGUGAAAAGCUGUACUGAAGUCCAAGCGCGUACCCAAAGCAUCCUGUAAGCUCUGCCAAAAGUGAGAUACAAACCGGGGGUCUCGAUCUAAUACAAUAUAAGUAGGUACCCCGUGUAAUCGCACAAUCUCAUCUAUACCUAUGCGAGUCUCACACCAGUCCAAGUAGUGUGGAUAGGUACGAAAUGUGCCGAUUUCGUCAAUCUAUCCACGAUUACCCAAAUAGCAUUAUGCCGAUCCUGAAAGUGGGGCAAACCCAUCACAAAGUCCAUGGUGAUCUUCUCCUAUUUCCACACCGGAAUCAAUAAGCUCUGCAAUUUUUCCGCAGGAACUCGGUGCUCAGCUUUCACCUGUUGGCAAGUUAAACAUCUAGCAACAAAUUCACCAACAUCCUUUUUCAUCCCGAACCACCAAUAAAGCAACUUUAAGUCCUUGCACAUCUUGGUGCCUCCCGGAUGUAUAGCAUAUGGUGCUCGGUGUGCCUUUUGAAGAAUUUCUUCUUUAAGUGUCGAUUCCGCCGGUACACAGAUCCGUCCACGGAAGCGCAUCAGUCCAACACCGUCCACAGAAAAGUCAUCGGUGCAACCAUCAAUCAUCUUAGCUCGAAUCCUUUGCAACUCCACAUUGGAGACUUGCUUUUCUUUAAUUCUUUCCACAAGUGUAGAUUGCACCACCAAAGUCAUCAGUCUCUAAGGUGUAUCUGGAGCCACCACCUCCAACUCCAACCGCUUCAUCUGCUCGAUCAACGGCGGUUGAGUAACCACAAGCAUCGCUAAGUUUUUCGUCGAUUUCCUACUUAGCGCAUCCGCCACCACGUUAGCCUUGCCCAGGUGGUAAAGUAUCGUUAAAUCGUAAUUCUUGAGUAGCUCCAACCAUCUGCGCUGCCUCAAGUUCAACUCCUUCUGAGUGAAUAAAUACUUUAAACUCUGGUGAUCCGUAUAUACUUCGCAUCGCUCGCCGUACAAGUAAUGGCGCCAUAACAUCAAUGCAAAGACCACGGCCGCCAAUUCCAAAUCAUGAGUAGGGUAGUUUCUUUCAUAAUCCUUCAACUGGCGAGAUGCGUACGCGAUCACUUUUCCGUCCUGCAUCAAGACACAGUCAAUCCAUUAAAGGAAGCAUCACUAUAAAUCACAUACCCUCCUCCAGCAAUUGGCAAGGUUAGGAUCGGGGCUGUCGUCAAUCUCUGCUUCAACUCUUGGAAGCUCCUUUCGCACGCAUUAUUUCAAACAAACUUGGUGCCUUUAUGCGUGAGCCUCGUGAGGUGUCACGCCCCGAUCCCACCUCUUUGGUCGGAUUCGGGCACGCUAACAGACCGCCGAACGGACAGGGUUUUCCCUGUACCGCGGACAGAGUCUCCCCUGUACGUUCAAGGCGUCGCAAUCAAUACAAUGUACGAAGUUCCAACCAGGAACACAUUUCAACCAAAGAUUGCAUAAGGAAGUAUCAAAAACAUAAAUCUACCUGCUAUUACAAGCAUUCACAUUCAUACAUUUUUACAUCACAAUUCUCAUUUGAUUCUUACAUUAGCUUUCACUUAACUUCCAAAUACAAUCCGAUUUUAACAUAGUUAUUACAACAUUGUUCUUACAAUUAUCACACUCUUGGUUCUUUGCAUUUUAUACCCUAAGAAGCCGACUCAGGGUGCUGCUAUCUGGUCUCAGUGGUAGGGCGCUAACUACGGAGCUACGCCCUUUCCUCGCGCCGCCGCGCCGCUCGCGNNNNNNNNNNNNNNNNNNNNNNNNNNNNNNNNNNNNNNNNNNNNNNNNNNNNNNNNNNNNNNNNNNNNNNNNNNNNNNNNNNNNNNNNNNNNNNNNNNNNNNNNNNNNNNNNNNNNNNNNNNNNNNNNNNNNNNNNNNNNNNNNNNNNNNNNNNNNNNNNNNNNNNNNNNNNNNNNNNNNNNNNNNNNNNNNNNNNNNNNNNNNNNNNNNNNNNNNNNNNNNNNNNNNNNNNNNNNNNNNNNNNNNNNNNNNNNNNNNNNNNNNNNNNNNNNNNNNNNNNNNNNNNNNNNNNNNNNNNNNNNNNNNNNNNNNNNNNNNNNNNNNNNNNNNNNNNNNNNNNNNNNNNNNNNNNNNNNNNNNNNNNNNNNNNNNNNNNNNNNNNNNNNNNNNNNNNNNNNNNNNNNNNNNNNNNNNNNNNNNNNNNNNNNNNNNNNNNNNNNNNNNNNNNNNNNNNNNNNNNNNNNNNNNNNNNNNNNNNNNNNNNNNNNNNNNNNNNNNNNNNNNNNNNNNNNNNNNNNNNNNNNNNNNNNNNNNNNNNNNNNNNNNNNNNNNNNNNNNNNNNNNNNNNNNNNNNNNNNNNNNNNNNNNNNNNNNNNNNNNNNNNNNNNNNNNNNNNNNNNNNNNNNNNNNNNNNNNNNNNNNNNNNNNNNNNNNNNNNNNNNNNNNNNNNNNNNNNNNNNNNNNNNNNNNNNNNNNNNNNNNNNNNNNNNNNNNNNNNNNNNNNNNNNNNNNNNNNNNNNNNNNNNNNNNNNNNNNNNNNNNNNNNNNNNNNNNNNNNNNNNNNNNNNNNNNNNNNNNNNNNNNNNNNNNNNNNNNNNNNNNNNNNNNNNNNNNNNNNNNNNNNNNNNNNNNNNNNNNNNNNNNNNNNNNNNNNNNNNNNNNNNNNNNNNNNNNNNNNNNNNNNNNNNNNNNNNNNNNNNNNNNNNNNNNNNNNNNNNNNNNNNNNNNNNNNNNNNNNNNNNNNNNNNNNNNNNCAUGCAUUUCUAAAACAUGCAUCUAGCUCAUGUUACUUGAAAUUUAACUCAUACAUUUAUCUAGCAUAUGUCUUACAUACUCCUUUAGCGUUUAGCUCUUACAUUCAUUAGCAUACUUUACAUAUAUUUACUUAGCAUCUAGCUCAUGUCGUUAUAUGCAUUUAUUAGCAUCAUUAUGGUACAUUCUUAAUUAGCAUUCUUAUUAUGCAUUCUUACUUAAGAUUCUUAUCAUGCAUCAAUAGUGAAACACACUACACUUUGGCAUGAAGGCGACCUAGUCACUUCGGUAAGCACAACCCACCUCUUAACGCGUUCCGAUUGCUUGUCGUCACUUGCAAUCGGCCUCCCGCGGCACCCGUGACCCGGUUUGGCUCGAACUCUCGCGUGACCACCCGAACGGCCACCAAUCCACGAUCCGUCUGUUCGGGAGUUUAUUCCCUGACACCACGAUGCUCCCGAUCCAUUUUCAUGAUUUUUGGAGGCUUAUUCCGCGUGCUGCGGCUAUCUGUACCAAAACAGACUGUUUCGUCAAUAACUUCGCGUACACUCGUCGGAUUGUCGAACCGAGCGCACUAAUGCGUUCGUUAUACCCCCAAUUAGGUUUAUAGAGGGUCAAUUGAGAUCAAACUUAACUAUUUACAAAAACCCCCUUUUGGAGCCCUAGGUUUGCAUUAUAGCAAAAUCCACCAUUAGAGCUUUGCAUUCAAGCUUUACUCAUCUAUUUAGCAUGCUAGGUUUCCAUUAAAAUCAUCUUUAGAGUAUAAGAACUUAACCCUAAAGAUCUACCAUUAGAGCUCCAAGAAGCUUACCUCAAGAAGCUUGCUCCAUUGCAAUGGGGAAGAAGAUGAGGAUGACUCUCUCCUCCUUGUCUUCUUCUCCUUCUUUUUCUUCUCUUCUCCUUCUUCUUCUCUUUUCCUUCCUCUUUUACUUUCUAGAGAGAGAGAGGGAGAGUUUUGGUGUGGGAGAGUGAGAGAAAUGAGGGAAAGAGAGAAAGGAUCCUCUCUAUACUCUCUCAUAAGUGCCAUUUUGCACUUAAGCCCCUCCACAAUGCUUCCCUCGCNGCUCAUGUCGUUAUAUGCAUUUAUUAGCAUCAUUAUGGUACAUUCUUAAUUAGCAUUCUUAUUAUGCAUUCUUACUUAAGAUUCUUAUCAUGCAUCAAUAGUGAAACACACUACACUUUGGCAUGAAGGCGACCUAGUCACUUCGGUAAGCACAACCCACCUCUUAACGCGUUCCGAUUGCUUGUCGUCACUUGCAAUCGGCCUCCCGCGGCACCCGUGACCCGGUUUGGCUCGAACUCUCGCGUGACCACCCGAACGGCCACCAAUCCACGAUCCGUCUGUUCGGGAGUUUAUUCCCUGACACCACGAUGCUCCCGAUCCAUUUUCAUGAUUUUUGGAGGCUUAUCCCGCGUGCUGCGGCUAUCUGUACCAAAACAGACUGUUUCGUCAAUAACUUCGCGUACACUCGUCGGAUUGUCGAACCGAGCGCACCAAUGCGUUCGUUAUACCCCCAAUUAGGUUUAUAUAGGGUCAAUUGAGAUCAAACUCAACUAUUUACAAAAACCCCUUUUUGGAGCCCUAGAUGCUACUCUAGCAAAAUCCUCCAUUUCGUCUCAUGAAUCAAGCAUGGUUCAUCUAUUUAGCAUGCUAGGAUUCCAUUAAAAUCAUCUUUAGAGUAUAAGAACUUAACCCUAAAGAUCUACCAUUAAAGCUUCAAGAAGCUUACCUCUCUAGGUUUGCUCCAAGGUGAAGAAGAAGAUGAUGGAGGGAAGCUCUCCACUUGCUUCACCUUCUUUUUCCCUUUCUUCUUCUUCUUCUUCUCUUCUCCUUUCCUUUCUAGAGAGAGAGAGAGGAGGCUUUGGUGUGAUACGGUGAGGGAGAGGGAGAGAGAGAGGUUCUAAUCCUCUCUUUACUCAUAACCCAUGCACAAAAUGCCAAUAAGUCCCUCAACAAUGCUUCUCUCGCAACAGCCCGAACUGGGCAUUUUCGGGGUUCGGGGACCGGUCCUUGCGAUGAGAGACCGGUCCCUGAGAGACCGGUCCUUGACUGAGAGACCGGUCCCCGAAGGUCCAGAAAUCAGCAUUCAAGGACUUAGCCAAAUUUUCAGCUUUUUCACCAUUUUCGCUCCGUUUUCACUCGUUUUCGCUCGUUUGACAUCCGAUUCAUUUCAAAUCGAACCGAGACUCUCCAAACAUGUUUUCAAGCAUGUUUUCAUCAUCUUUUCAUCCACGCUAAUGCCAGAUUUAGUCCAUUGUCCAACAUAGCCUUUCGGGUCCCGUUUUCGCGCCCUAUGCGCACCGAAGCACCCGAAUGCUCCCGAACUUCGCCGGAAUGAUUCCAAUAGCUUUCUAAGCUAACAUACAUCAUAACUUCAUGAAUUAGAAGUUCGGUAUAUUACAUGAGGGGAGUAGACAACUUUGCAAAUCCCUCGACAAACCGUCGGUAGUAGCCGGCCAAACCAAUGAAGCUCCGUAUCUCGGUGACACUUGUCAGCGUCGGCCAAUCCUUGAUGGCUUCAAUUUUUCUCGGGUCCACGGCUAUACCUGAUCCUGAAAUCAAAUGACCCAAAACGCCACCUCUCUAAGCCAAAACUCACACUUCUUCAAUUUGGCAUAGAGCUUCUUUUUCCGAAGCACUUGAAGUACAAGUCUCAAGUGUUCCUCAUGAUCUGCAUCACUUCGAGAAUAGACCAAAAUGUCGUCGAUGAAUACUACGAGAACCUGUCUAGAUAAGGCUUGAAAAUACGGUUCAUUAGAUCCAUAAAAGCUGCCGAGGCAUUAGUAAGCCCAAACGGCAUAACAGUAAACUCAUAAUGCCCAUACCGUGUUCUAAAAGCCGUCUUCGACACAUCCUCAGGCUUGAUCUUCAGCUGGUGAUAUCCCGACUGUAAGUCGAUCUUGGAAUACACACUAGAUCCCUGGAGCUGAUCAAAUAAAUCAUCAAUCCUCGGUAAUGGAUACUUAUUCUUAAUCGUGACUUUAUUGAGUUCACGAUAAUCCACGCACAAGCGAAGCGAUCCAUCCUUCUUCUUGACAAAUAGGACCGGUGCUCCCUAAGGUAACACACUCGGUCGCACAAAAUCCUUGUCCAGAAGAUCUUGCAACUGUGCCUUCAGCUCCUUCAAUUCCGCUAGUGCCAUCCUAUAGGGUGCCUUUGAGAUUGGAGUAGUCCCGGGAACGAGAUCUACCACAAACUCAAUCUCCCUGUCAGGUGGCAUGCCUGGUAACUCCGCUGGAAACAAUCUCCAAACUCCCGCAUGACGGGGAUGUCCUCAAUCCUAGGGGCGUCUGCAUCACCCUGCAACACAACAGUAGCCAAGUAGGCCACGCAGCCUCUGCUGAUCAACUGUCUAGCUCGAGAGGAGCUAAUCAUCAUCGCAAACAGCGAACUCUGGCAUCCUCGGUACACAACCUCCGCUUGCCCCGGCUCUCUAAACGUCACAGUUCGAUUCUUGCAAUCAAUAGUGGCGUAGUACUUGGUCAACCAAUCCAUGCCCAAAACAACAUCAAACUCUCCGAGUUUAUGGAAAGCUAGCAAGUCCACGGGCAUGACCCAAUCUCCAACUCGAACAGGGCAACAGGGGCAAAACUCUCGAAUAUCCAAAGAGUGAUCGGGUACUACAACUCGUCCCGGAUGCAGCAAAAAUGUCAGUGGGAUGCCAUGCAACUCGGCAAACAGCCGGUCUAUGAAUGAAUGCGAUGGACCGGUAUCAAAUAAUUCUCGAACUCGAAUACCAUAAAGUAAAAUGAUACCUACAACCACAUUCUCAGCUGCUGCCGCCUCCUCAGUCUGGGCCGCGUACAUGCGCUCACUCGGGGCCUGUCGUGACCUCUUCGCCUGCCGCUGCACUCGCGGCCGUCCAGCCUGGUGAUGCGCAGAAGGUGUCCCCUGGCUGGGACCCGGUAAAGCUGGUGCAGAUGCCGAAGAUGGCGCUGGUGCUAGGCCCCAUAGGCAGUCCGACUGGAAGUGGCCCUCCUGGCCACACAGGUAGCACCUGCCCCGACUGCGUGAACACUGCCAUGGAAAAUGGGGACCACCGCAGAUCACGCAGCGCGGAGCCUGGCGUCGAUCAGGUCCCCCCCGCUGUGUAGACUGGCCACGUCCUCGCGACUGGGUCCGGUGUCUCGGAUGUCUCGGCGGCCUCCCUGAGUGCGCCUGACUCGCACCCUCAACCGCGGGCCUCUUGCCUUUGCCUUUGUCCAAGGCCUCUCGCCGCUCCUGCAGAUCUGCUGCUCCACUCUCAACUAUGAGUGCGCGGUUCACAACCUCCCGGUAGGUUUGGAGGUUGGAAGACUGAACGAACCGAAAGAUCGAAGGCCGCAAUCCCCGCUCAAAGAUGCGGGCCUUGUCCUCGUCGUCCUGAACAACGAAGGGCACACAAUGAAGAAGCCGGGAGAACUCUCUCUCGUACUUAGCCACCGUCCUGUCCCCCUGGCGCAGGUUGCGUAGAUCUUGCUCCAUCUUCCUCUUGACACUGUCAGGGAAGUAAUGCUCCAGUAGGAGUUCCUUGAACCUCCUCAAAGAAAUCGCCGUCAGAUCCGUGCUGAGGUUGUCCUCGAUGUCCAACCACCAUCUGUAGGCCUCGCCGUCCAAAUGAUGUGUGGUGAGCCACACUCUAUCCUUUUCCUCAACGAAGGUAUCCCGAAACAGCUUCUCCAUAUGCAUAAGCCAUUUCUCCUCGAUCCAGUGAUCCACGUUCUCCCCGUCAAAGGUCCGGGGGCUGCAUCUCCUGAACUCACAGAGACGCUCCAUAAGCCGAUCCCGCUUAGCUCCCUUAACCAUCACGGGGAAAAUCGCCCCCGCUACAAAUACUCGCGCUGGUGGUGCCGCGAUGUCCUCUCCCCGAGAUGCCACCGCUGGUGCCGUCCUAGAAGCGUCGAGUGCAGGGGACGACACCCUAGGCGCGACCACCUCUACUGGUGCGGGUGGUGUAGGGAUCUGAGUCUUCCUGGCAGCCGCAUGCUACAGCAGAAGGUCCUCCAGGCGCUUCAUCCGCACCUCCUGUCGAAGCGCCGUGUCCGCCUGUCGCGUCACCAAAUCAGUGAGGGCUGCCAGCUAGCCCCUCAACUCACGGACCUCGCUGGAUCCGGAGGUAGCGGAGGUCUCAGCCUCCUCAAAUUGUGCCGCAUUGUCCGCCCCCGCAGAUUGAGAGCGCGUAAUCGGCAUUGUCACUACAAAACAUAAAAGCGCAAGUUAGUAACCCGCGCUAUCGAAUCCCCGCUCAAAUAACAAUACCCAAAUCAUGCGAAAGUAAGGAAGUGUUAUCCACAACUAACUCCCGAUGUUACAUUGUCGGCCGCCAACGUAACCCUCCGCGAAGUUAGAAGCCAUACACUCCGAUUAAACUCUAACUUUUUAGAGUUGUCAUAAAACCCAAUCAUAAUACUUUCGCUCACAAGUCAAAUAGACCUCGUCUCUCGCGAGCCUAUUUCCUAUAGUCCAACCGGCCUAAGGUUUGCUAGGUCCGCUAAGACUCAACCCUAGGCUCUGAUACCAAUUUAAUCUGUCACGCCCCGGGACCGGCAGAGGCCCUCCCGGUAGCGCGCCCAGACCCGCCAUAUGUCUACACAUAUAAGGCGUCUACAACAACAGCAGAAAUAAAGCAAGAGAUGAUUCGCAACUAGAGAUAUCAGAGCAAAUACACAACUAUAAUCUAUAAUAAGAGUAGAUGGAACAACUAAGUAAUAAAGAGGAAACAUAAAGUUAUACAAUAACCAUCUCAAAAGUACACAAAAUGGGUGGUCUCUAUUACACUGGUACAGCUCUCAACCUCUCCAAAAAGAAAACAAUGAGAGGUCGACCACCUAUCAAGGCGUCCUUCGAAGCCAAGCUAACUUGAGGCGAUACCCUUUCCGCGGUCCCUAGCCUCUCCCGGCGUGGAAGGCUUUGAAAUGACAUCAAGAAAAAGAGGGCGUGAGAACUAUAAUUUAUAGUUCCCAGUGGGCAAUUACUGACCCCAGCUCAAUGCACCACUAGGCCCCAAAAGAAAAGGGUAAGUCCAAAAAGCAACAAUAAUAAUAAAUGGAUUGCAUUUAUGGAAGCAUGAUUAAAAUACUAAACUACUAUGUCGCAAAUAAACAUGAUGUCAAACGUGUUGUACAUCUACUUUAUCAAAAUGAAGUAUGUCCAAGCAUGACUAAUAUGUCCCAACAUAACGAGCAAGUAGGUAUCAUGAACCACUAUAUCAAUGUAUGAUGAAUAUGCUCUAUCAUGGCAGCAAAGUAUACUAUGAUGCAACAAAUAAGACUAUCAUGUAUACUACAAGUCCCAACACUAUGUUAUAAGCAUGUCAAGGUAAUCAAACUACUAAGCCUAUCUAGUAGUGAUAGCCAUUUUCCGGUUCAAUGUCAUUGUUUCCAACAUGUUCUAGGACCUACAUAGUGUAGUCCAGCUUGUGCCACCUAAGUGUCGGUGGUAGCUCUAGCAUUCCCGCUCUAGGAAUGAGUCUAUCCCUCCCGACCCCUUAGGUUUCUCGAUACCGCACGAGCGAGCAUAAGUCGCGUAGGCCAACUCCGGAGUGUCGGUUUGUAGGGAGCGACCCUCACAAGCAUGUGCGAAUGAACACAAAUGGCAAACAAGCGUAAUCAUCGUCUCAAGUACCCAAUCAUCAUUGCUCUAACAUGGUAUUAGUCACUAGCAUCUCAUCGAUCUAGCUCUAGGUUACAAUGUGAUGUUCCAACACUCACUAUGCUUAGUGCCUCUUCAUGACACUUAAGCUUGAUAUAAGUUAAGCACAUUUCAUAUUCUAUGUUCUAUUCAUGACAUUAGUACUAGGUUCUCAUUUAACCCGAGCUCAAUGCCCCUUUAUGGCAUUAGCUCACUAAUUCACAAGUCAAAUUAGUCCAAUGCCGCUUUAUAGCAUUAUAAUAGUUUCAAUAUUCGAUUGAGGUUUAAGUCCAUAGGCACUUUACAUAUGUCAUUUCUACUAGGUAAACAUGAACCCAAGUCUCUCAUAAGAAUGCUAAUGCACAUAUACGCCUCACAUGCAAGUUCUCUACUUCAUAGAGGUCCGAAAAUACAAUGUAUAAAACAUAGGCAUUUUAAGCAUUCUAAAAUUCAUAAAUAAUACAUCUAACAUAAUUAUGCAUGCUUUUUCAUUUAACGAUACUCAAUUCAUCACAAAUGAGAUUUUCUCAUUGUGUCGCUAGGUCAAACCCACCGAACCGUCUCGGAAUCCUUCGUUUCGCCGAACGGAGUUGUCUACAAGUCUCUAAGUACCCUAAAAGUAAGGAGCGAAGAGAUAAACAAAUGUUACGAGCAACUCUAGGCUCAGACAUUAACCACCACAAGCAAAGGGGCAAAAACUCACCUAGGGAGCAGAAAAUCUCUCUCAAGCUCCAAAAGAGAGCUAGAAUCCUUCCAAUCUAACCUAAAGAAAGGUUCUAAUCCAAAAAAUUGAGCUCCAAAAGCCCUAGAUCCAAAAUACCCAAAAUCUACCCUAAAACCUCAUUCUAGGGUUUCAUCUCAAAGAAUCUAUCAAAACAAGAAUCUAAAUGAAAGAAACUUGUUACCAACCGCUUGGAAGCUUCAAUCCAAGCUCUAAGUCUUCAAACUUCAAAGAUCCUCCCUCAACCAAGCUCCAAAUCAAAGCUUCAAGCUUCAACCAAGGUGGAAAAGCCUCCAACAAGCAAAAGAGAGGCUUAAUCUCCUAAAAAUCCAACCAAAAAUCAAAGAAAGAGAUCGAGAGGUGUGGAGGGCUUCCUCUCCUUUCUCCUUACUGGUGCCAAGCUCAUGGGAGGCUCCUAGGGAGUGGGGAUACAAAUAGAGUUGCUACAAUAGCAAUUACACCCCUGCAGAACCGUCUGUUCAGAAUCUGUCACUGCGUACCGGUACACGGGCCCGCGUACCGGUACACCUCCCACGAAAAGGCCAAACCCGAGCCUCGGGUUUGCCUCAAAACUGCCUAUGUACCGGUACACGGGCCCGCGUACUGGUACAACCAUCAACCCUGUAAUAUACCGUAAAUUCGGAAAGUGAAUAUCGAACUUUAGUCGAAUUGACCAAAGUGCGAGGAUGGAACACUUCGGAGAGUCCGAAGGUGUUAAAAUGAUCAAAAGUGAGUUGUGGGUAAAUGUCCGUUAUGUAACAGUAAAUAAGGUCUGAAAGAAAUAAAGAUCAAAGUAGCAUACUCCUACAUUUACAAUGACUAAAGGUUUUCGGAAGAGCUAAAGUAGCAAAUUCAAAUUCUGCAACAAGCUGAAUCUUCCAGCAGAUUUUCAGCUUCUCGGGACCUGCCCUCCCCUGUAGGGAAAUUAGAUGACCAGGGAUAAGUCGCACACAACCGAGUUAACACGUAUGAAAAUGAGACUAUGACUUGGCCAAGACACGAAAAAUCGCUAAAGUCGCUGAGAGUAUAGUUUCCGAACUCUUCGGAAAAGCCCUCCAGGUCCCGCGCAUCUAAUCCUACCAUGUCCUGAAAGACGUCGCUGUCCCCGAGAGACGCAUUCCCCUAGAGGAGAGAGCCAAGGUCAGUUCCACACUGCGCGGCGUCAAGACUACUGCACUUGGCGCUAAGGCGACGAACUAGUCGGAACCGUCCUGAAAGAGAGACACGGUCCCCGCUAGCGCGAUAUUGUCCACCAGUUCGGCGCAGUAUUAAAGUGUAAAUUCAAGGUUUUAUUGCAUUUUUAUUGUGCAACCCAUUGUGAGUCUUAUGUUUUUUAUGGUGGAUAAUGAAAACUUAGGAGGGUGGCUUUUCCUCGUCUAAUGCAAUUUCUUGCUCUAUUUAAAGCCAUACCCUCAAAUCAAAACUAAGCAGAAAUGUGAUAUGAAGAGGCAUCUCAAACACUCUCUUAACUCUAUUCAACCCAUCACUAUUGGCGUCGAGUCUCUCUAUAUAAAAAAAGACAUUUAAGGAGAAGAGAGGACAAAAACAAGGAAACGAAGGAAAAAAGAGAAAAGAAAAAGGAGGGAAGAAAAGAAGGAAAGUGAAAGACUAAUAAGCCACUCGUCCCUGAUACAUUCACACACAUUAGCCGCUUCGAGACAAGAAGAAAGAUUACUAGAGUAGAAGCUCUAUAACCCUAAAUCAUCGUAGAACUUACUCUAGGGUUUGGAUAAGCUUAAAAUGGGUUUUAUGGAACACAUUUUGAGUAUUAUGAACGCAUUUUUCUUAUUGCUUCUUCUGUUUGAGAUCAAGACCAUAAAUGGUGAACUUUGAGCUGAGCUUCAUCACGCGCCGUCAAUCGAGGUGAACAUACCCUUAGGGUAGUCUGAGUUGCAUAUAAGAUGGUUCUAAUAUCUCGAACUUCUUAGAGUAUAAUGAACGAGUCACUUUGUCCCACAUUCUCUACUUAGAGAUCAACACCCUAGGUUGGAUAUACUAUUAGGAGCCAUAGGUUGGCAUCCCAUAAUUUCGGCGGCUUUUGCUCAUUCGAAGAGGUUCUGAAGGCAAUUGACUGCCUGUCGUAGAAACACGCUAAAUUCGGCAAGAUGGUAUGUCCAACCUCAGCGUGGGUGCGCUCAGAAUAGCAUUACGAAAAGGCCGACGAAAAGUUAAAGGGCAAAAUGGCCUAAUAAGGGUUCGCAGCCGCAGUAAUAGAACAAAUGGAGUCGAAAAUCCCGUAAGAAAAUCGUCGAAGCACCUUUGGGAAGCCUACGACCGUGGUGUCUUUUAAACCUCAUUGAAAUUCUCUCACUAUGCCUAAUUGUGUUCAUUCUCGUGAGCAUAAAUGUUCUAUUAUAUUUGCAUUGCAUUGUAUUAGGGUAAUGUACAUGGCAUAAAUGCGGAUGCAGUCGGAAUAUUGUCGAGGCACAAAACUUGCAUAAUGACAUGGUUAGAAUGGCUAAAUUAUAUCUGUCACACAUAACACCUUCGUAAUCAUAGACUCUGUCAUCGCAUGCAGCAGAAAUGUAGUACAAAAGGAACCCAUCACUUCAUAGAACUGAUCCAUAAAAACACGAAGUGGCACUAUGACAUAGAUCGAGUGGCAUUUAAAAUGUAAACGUAAACAGAGACACUUAAUUGAGGGUAGUGUCGAAUUGUCAAACACGUACCAAAAGUCAACUGUAAAGAAGAUGAAAAUACACAAUGUUUAUAAGUAAAGUACAUAGUGGCGACGCAAGAAUAAAAACACAGUAUUGUCAACGAAACAAGCAUGCUAGAGCUUAGGCCAAAGAGUAAAGAAAUGUAAAAGAAAGUGAUUGUGAAUGAAGUUUGCAACAUAAAAGUGAGUGUAGAAGAACACUAGAGCUAGUGAAAUCAAGAUUGAACUUAUAAAUCCUUUGAGUAAGGAUAUGAAUCAUACUUGCUCAUGAGUUCCGUGCUCCGAGCGGUGCUCCCUCGGGCGCAUGCGUCCGGAGUUAUGGCAUUCCGUUGGAUAAACCCCGUAAGGACGGUCCCCUAGCGCGUCGAGUUCGCUGCGAUGAUGGAUUUAACUGUGAAGCAAGUUAAAGCGGUCGAUAACCCCGGGUUACCCUUGAGAUUAAGAACAAAGAACAAAGAGCAAAGAAUAAAGAACAAAGUACAACAGUAAAGUCAAAGAACGAAUCGAGCUUAUAAUCUGGGCAUCUAUUCAAUUGUCUGACAUAACUUCUUGCUUAUUGUUCAGGGCAUAUUAAGUAUUAUGUUAUAGAUUGGUUACUAUACAGAUUAUUCUUUCUAUUUAGCCUGGAGUUAAGUGCCUAGUGGCGAGGAAACUAUAAUUAAAAGUCGGCUCUGAUGUUGAGGCGCAGAUAGUAGACCUAGAACCCACUGGGGGAUUUAAAUUUGAUUGUAGUACACCGGCCGACAUAAUUUUCCACACGCAGUCCGGUAACUGCGGUGUCCCGAGAGCGAUCCGGCGAUCCCCCGUUUUUGAAGCUCGAUCUCGACCUCUCAAAAGCGCCGAGGUACAAGGUAUCUAUCAGGCGCCUGGUUAAGUAAAGUGGAGCGACAACCAAACGUUGGGUACAUUUGUUAGCAACACCCUUUUAUCACUUUUGUUAUUUGAUGAUUAAGCAAUGCUAAAGAAAAGAAUGUAAAGCUUUAUUUUGAGCGUAAAUGUGUAUGUAAGAAAGAGAAUGAUGAAAUUAUGUAAUAGAAUGGAAAGAAUCUUAAGUUUUAGAGAUGGAUGCAAUGUAUAUGAUCCACAACGAAUCAUAUUACUGGUAGAUUUUAAUUUCCUUUCUUUCACUAAUGGGCCCUAUGUGGCUGUAGAAGCCUCGCGGAUUACCGGCUGAGGCGACGCGGUUCUGUGUUUUCCGCGCCUACCGCUUACUUAAUCUUUUCGGAAUUGAAAAUGUACACGCGUGUGAUGAGCCUUGGGCCGUAUACGGGGAAACUCUGUCCGUCUCGACGUUGUUGGAGCUGUGCUCGGCGUCGCCUAAUUGGUACGGGUCCGGGGCGUGACAGGAUAAGUUGUAUCAGAGCAAAUAGUGACAAGAAUAGAAUGGACCUAGAACCUAUAGGAAUUGGACAGGCCUUAAGGAUCUAGAAACGUGAGUGACCUGGAAUCAGUUAGCGAAAGCAUCGUGAUUGGGCUUAAGUUGGAUAGCGCUUCUAAUGUGAUUAAGAGGCUAAGUUUUAAUUUCCGUGUUAUCCUCUACUCUAUCGUGUUGUGUGGGGCAGGCCACGGCUCAUGGCGAGUCCCGGGACCGAUCAUACGCUGAGGGGCAAGGAUGAAUGCGUGCAUCAUGUUGCUUGCCUCAUUGGGUACAUAUUGGUUCAAAGUAAAGUUUGGGUGCAAACUCUGCACUAAUUCGAGUUGCUUCUUUUCAGGAAGCCGAUUGGCACCUCGAACCGUCCGAUCAGCAGAAAGGUCGAAUGCCGGAGGAACGAACUGCGGUGCCCGAGCAAUCGCCGGAGCAAGUGGCACGGAGAGCUUAGGGGAGCUAAAUCGGCCGCUCUUAUUGGAGGUGUGCGGCAGUCAACAGAGUCUUUAAGCGCCACAGGGGAUAAGAUUCAGCGGCUCCAGGAGUACCUUAAGCGCCACCGCAGGCGCCGGCAGCUCAGGCGGGCCGUCGAGCGCAUGUCCCGCCACCGUGGUAGUGCGCAGUGUUGUUGAGGAGCGGCGGCACGCAGCGGCCGUUCUAGUUACAGUUCGUGCCGGCGCGGCGUCGGAACUUCGAAAAUCCGCGAUAGUCACGGCAGUCCGACUUGCGCGAGCCGAGAGCCGCACAUUGCGCCGCUUAUACAGUUCACGAAGUUCGAUCCCACUACCCUCGAGGGUGGUUGGUGGAAGCCCAGCCAGCUUGGAGGUCGUGAUCGACUCAAUGGAGACCUCUUCGAGAUCUCCAAUACUCGAGAACGGAUACAAUGUACCUCCGCCACUUCAUUGUCUAGAGAAAGCGCAAACGGUGUGGUGGACAGCGAGUGAAAGCGGAAUCGUCCGUACCGAUCCGCUUAGCUUUGGGAGGAGUUCAAGAAAGCGGUAUUCGCCGAAAGAUACUUCCCCGACACUGUGAAGGCGCAGGCUACAAGAAAAGUUUCCGCAGUGAGACGGGCGAUCGAUCAUCGGUGGGACGGUAUGAGCAGAUCUCUCCACAUUAUUGAAUGCGUUCCCGGACGUUCGUCGUGGAUGAUCGGGAGCCGGGCGGAUGUGGUUCUUGCGAGGACUCCAACCCCGGAUAUGAAAAGGCUGCAUGAUGCGAAAGUGUUUUUCCCCCCCCGACCCUUUGCGGAGGUCUUCGAUUAGAGCCUUGUGGGCGGGAGCACGGUAGCCGGCCCAUCGUCCGAAAGCGAGAGCUAUGCCGAUGUCCAAGGACACUUCUCUGAGGGCAAGAGUAAGGACGGCGGGUGUCGCCCGCAACGGCGACGGCCAAAUGCUAGAAACCCUCCCGUAUCUCCCGACAGCAAGCCGAGGAACUGACGACCACCCGCAUGCUCAUAUGUGGCGGUGAGCACAAGGUGUAUUGAACCAGCGAGACGCGCAAAUGUUUCAUAGUUGGUCCCAACCGGACAUCUUAUCCGCGGUAGUUGCCCCUCCGUAUCGUCGUCUGGCGGCCGCACGGCUGCAUCAGCACCGUCCUAACCCCGAGACAUGCUUGCGGGUUGCCACCCAAGCGAUGUCGGCUGGGCGCCGCCGUCAUCAACCGCUCAAGGCCCGCGAGGGACUCCUCCGGAGAGCGCGGCGGAGCUCCUGAGUUGCCGGCCUGACCUCUUUGCACGCGUGCCAGGUGGAGGCGGCGCGAACGGGCCGAGAGGCGAGACCUGGCGCCGCGUAGUCGACACUCCCGCCCGAUGGCCGAGCACCCGUGGUCGUGGGCGACGGCGAAUAUAGCGAUUGGAAUUUAGACAAGGCGUGGCACGAGACGCUAGAGCUAGGUUUUGAUACGGGCGCAUCACCACACUUGCAUGCCGUGGUUCGCGCAUUCUGGCGCGGGUCAGGUGUUCAGGCGGAUGAGGGGUCCUGGUCAUUAAGGGUAGUCAGAGCCGUUAUGGGUUUAGGGUUUGGGUCCAUGGCGAGGUGGAGUCUCGAAAUCGUGUUGGGUAGUACCGUUUUGUUCGAACUGUAUCGCUAAAGGACGACUCAUCAUUGCGCCAAGCUACACGAAGAAUGGAUUAUUAACGUUCUGUCAUGUUUAGUGCAUUAUUUUUUGUUUUAGGGCGGCUUACGCUCCACGAGCAUUUCAUGUCAGGGUCCAAAGCGAGUGUUUGGCGUCUCAGUGAGCAAAUAAGCGAUUGGAUUAUUCGCCGGAUUGAUCUGCGCAUAGUGGCUAAGAUCAGCUGUUUUGAUGGUGGUGGAUGAGGACUUUUCGAUCCGCAACUGGUGAUAUAAUCAUUUAAUGGAACCACCACUGGGAUCUCCAAGAUAUCUUACGCUGUGUGAUAGUAAGUAAAUUGUAGGUAAAGCAAUAGGUGAAUACACAUUUUAUGUUGUUGAGCCUAAUUCACAGAAGGAUGACUAAUCUAUCCCAACUAGCGUGGGCAAGAAAUUAGCGCCUUAUAUGUAACAAACAAAUUAAUAAAUAAAUAAAUCAAAAUGUGUUUUCUUCAAUCGAGGUUCAAAUAAUGUAUGAGAGGCGACUUGAUUAAAAGAAAAAUAUUGACCAGAAUUAUCAUUCUUUAGUCCUCGUUAAGGGCCCGGAUAUAUCAAAUUUAGAGAAAUUGAGAUAUCAAUUUAAGCGGUGGAUUGUAAGCCUACCUAUUGGCCCAACCAUCGGUGAUCCUGCCGUCAGGGACACCUCAGACUUGGAAGUAUCCGGGUUGCGUGUGAGUUUCCGAUGUGCUUUCGGCGGGAGUACCUCAAAUUUCAGUGAAAUUAUCGCCUAUAUAAAACCGAACUUUUAAUUUUUAUCUGAUUUACAGCUAAGCCGGAAAAAGUCGAGUUUGGUUAUUACAUAUUUUAAUUUUAAAAUGACUCUGAAUUAUCACCUAGCGGGACUUUGUUGUAUUAGUUACAGCAGAACCAGUUUCGAAUUACGUUAAUGCUAACCGUAAAUUAGAAUCUGGCUAGCAUCCGGUGGAGUUAUAACAAUUGCAGUCUUAAAAGGUUUCAAUUACAAGACUUGCUAAGUCAAAGACGUGACAUUCCGUACUGAGGUUAUUAAACAUACCAGAUAGUGUAUGUCAUACGCUGAUGUGUGAGAGAACUUCCUGUAGUGCUAAUAAGCUCACUGACAGUUAGAGAAAAAGGAUCGUUUAAGCAACACCUUCGACUAACCCUCACUCGCGUAGAUAAUCACGCGAAGUUAAACAAAAGAUAAACUCGGUAACAAAAGAAACUUAAGGUAAAAACAUUCGAGUUGCAAGGAUUGACGAUCUAGCUUCGAUCAGUUGUUCAGAUAAAUUUGGCAUUCAAAGGGUCAAAGGUGUAAUUGAAAAUUAUCCAAUUUUAAAAUUAAGUCAAUCGGGGUUAUCGGAAUUUAAUUAAAGAUUCAGAGCGCAGACCACCACCACUCAUCCGAAGGAUUGCAACGUAAUCAACGCGGUGACCGUAACCCGGUAUGCCAUUAUAGCUUCACGGUAAUGCCGUUUGGCUUACUAACGCCCGCCCCCGGCAUGUAAGUUUUGGCUUUUAUAGAGCUUGUAUUUUGAAUUACUGAGCGUCUUUAAGGCCCGUUGUUGUGAGAUACGCAUAAACGUUUCUUAAAUGCCAUAUUUUACCUAUUUUUGGUAUUAGAAUAUAAAAUUAAAAACUUGCUAUUCUUUCGUGGUGUUUAUAGACGACUGUUUUGGUUUACUUGAAAAGUGAAGGGAGCGAUAACACGAGAAGAAGCACAUAAAUUCUAUGAGAGGCGUGUUGCGGCAUUGAUACUCAGAUUCAAGAGAGCGUUCAUGUCUAAAAAUAAAAAUAUGUGAACUUUUGGUGUUGUGCUACAAGGAAGGUCACAAUUCACUUAAAAGUGUGAAAAUUAUGAUAGGUUCUUAAUAGUGGUUAUCCGGGCGACACUCGGAGUUUCGGUAGACGCGAAGAAAGUAGGGCAAUUAAAGAUUGGCCUCGCGAGAUUUAUAAUCCAAUAGACGAAAUGUGAGGCGAGAUCGCGCAGCAGUUUAUCGUUGAGAGCACUGUUUCGGGCGGAUGCUACUCAAGUAUAGCACGGAAUACAAUUUGAAACAAGCAUAAUUACUGCGUUGUUGUUUUCUGUGCACGAUGUUCGGACCAAAAAAUCAUAACCACGUGCCGCUAGAAAAUUUUUCAAUAUCAUUCCCCGCGCCUUACACAUAAGGAGUAAGUACUGUGGAAGCGACGAUUGCGAUCCGACAGCUGAAGGGUAAUUCAAGUAUACCAGAGCAGGCUUGACCUCGACACUCUUCACUUUAGUAUCAUACUGGUCUUUUAAAGGUCAGGUGCUUGCCUUGCCAAACUCCGGAAGACUUUGUAGUGUAUCCAAAGUUAAGUGAUUCGGCUCUCUGUAAGUCUUAUGUUAGGUCUCUUUUAUUUGGUGGUAUGUCGAUUUAUUUCAUCAAGAUAUCGGGGUCAUUGCUUAUCGCACGCGCCAGUUAAAGAGUUAUAGAAAAAAGUACCCAAUUUCACGACCUCGAGUUAGCCUGCGGUGAUUUCGAGCGCUAAAGCUUGAGCAUUACCGUGUAUGUGAACAUUGUGAGUAUACAUCCGAUCAUAAGCACGUUAAGAGUAACCAUUGUUCACCCCAGAAAGAAUUGAAUAGCGACGCGCGGUGGUUGGAGUUGCUACAUAGUUCUUUUUAUCUAUGAUGGUCACCAUAUAUUAAAUCAUCUGCACUCGUUAAAUUAUAUACCCAAAAAUUCAGAUACCGAAAAGCCAAUGUCGUGGCCCGAGCUCUAAAGUGAAAAUCGGCCGGAGAACUUAGCGAACGGCAAUUGCGCCUCAAGCACUAUUUAAAAGGAAAUAAACGUUGGGUGGGAAGUGGUUCCAGCGCCGGGAGUGCCGCUACAUUGCCACACUAGUUUGUGCAAACCGACCCUAUUUGAAGAGAAAUCCAAAAGAGUUAGCACAGCUUCGAUCUUUUUCUCAAAAGGCUUCAAGAUGAUGUGAGAAACGUAAGCCGAGGAUUUUAGUGUUGGAGGUUAUGGCGGGCACCUUCGAUUUUCGAAAUCGAUGGUGUGUACCAAAGGAUGGGGAGUUUGCCGAAGGACAGAUCAUGCAAGACACGCACAAUCUCCUUAUAGUAUAACACCCCGCGGCACUAAAAUUGUAUCAAGGACUUGAAAGAGGCAUUAAUUGGGUGGCUCGGCGCUUAUGAAAAAAGAUAAUCGGGAGUUUGUGGCGCAAUGUUAUUAAAACAGGCCAGCAGUUAUAAGCAGAGCGCGAUUCCCCGCGGUGAAAGCUAGCAAGUCUACCAGUAACCCCCCGUCAGCUUAUGGGAAAUUUGGUAGUCAAGAGCCACAUACAAAUGAAUCAUGUUACCUUAUUUUUACGAGCGUUGCCUGCCGAUCACAAGGCGGACACCGAUGCGAUACCUGGGUGAUCAGUGGACUCGAUGACAAAGUCGGCUACACUUCCUUGCCGAACUACAGUAUCUACUUAGGCUCGUUUUAACUUUAUCACUGAUUGAUAGACAGGCAUCGAAAGCGCAUAGUAUUAUCUCAAAUUGACCUGAGGGGUUGAUUGCCACUUCCAGGGGCCCGCCAGUAUCGAUGAAAUUGUGUCAGAUACGCUAAGACCCCAGGUUCACAUCCCAAAAGAUAACACACACACUUUUGUGAAGGAAGUAUUGCCAAGACCGCGUACAGCACACCACGGCACAAGAUCACUCCUAUACAGACGUGUGCAGUUUUUUCAUACCUCGACAGACAGUGAAUGCGAACAACUUCUAGUAGACAAUGACAAUACGAUACGAAUAUACUUAUGAAGGAAUUUAACUUCCUGCAGCAUCAAAGGUGUGCAUUAACAUGGUUAGACAAAUAAGCAGGCACUGGCAUGAUUUCUUGCUAGUGAGCGGGAGGUUGUUGCCAUAGUCAAGUAAUUAGCUACUCCUAUUUGACAUAAAUUUUGAAAUGAUUAGUCAUAAGAAGCGGCCCUACUAUUUUAGGAGUCAUCACUAUAAUUUAUCGUGGAUCGUAUAUGAGUGUCGUAGUCACCAAUUUUAAAAACCAUUAAUUUACUAUUCCAUUGGAGCGACGUGUGGCGCAAGAGAUGAUGCUAAAUUUGAACAUCUUGUGGAUCCCCUGAUGUGGGGCGGGAGGCGGAAAGAGGUAUAGAGUCCGCCACUUGCCCUCAACAACUUGGGCCAUAUUUGCCCAUGUUUGGCUGAUGGCUGCAAAUACUACGUCCAAAAAUAGAAGUUAUGCCGAAAAGACGGCGAAGGAAGAUUUGAGAGCUCGCUAUCGAGUUGGGUUUGGGAGACCUCUGUUAGUGAGUCUUGAGCAGGUGUUCCGCCGAUCCGUUUAUGAGAUGUUGAAAGUCCAAAGACGAUCUACAUGAGGAGAGUCCGAUGGGAAAAUGCUAUAGGGUCACCGUUAUGCCAUCGGCAACAACGUGUUUCAGAGAUAUUGGUUAAGCGUGUGUUGAAGCUUUAUGCGUAUGGACAUACAAAGCUCCGCACUACCACCACUUACUUACAGAAACUUAGUAUAUUUUUUCGUUUUUUUUUUUUUUCAAAAUUAACUUUUGUGCCAUCGUGAGACUACAUCGAGUAGUCUCACCAAUGAUGUUUCAUGUGUCAGUAUCCUCGUACAAAUAUAUUAAUCAUUACCGAACGCGACACAAUGUAUUGAGUAAGUUGAGCCCGCGUGACACGUGAGAUAGCUCCUAGCGAGGAGUACCUCCCGGUGUGCAUCCUCGAGUCGAGAAAGUAAAGAAUUGCGAAAGCAUGAUAACAAUACUCUAACUAUGCAAGAUCCUAUCACAUUUAUGCUGAAAAAUUCCAGUGCUGCACGACCAUGAAAUGUCGAGCAGCCACUUCGGCAGCGUCGAUGGAAAGAUAUGCGCGAUGUAGAUAGACGCUAUCACUAAUUAUGAUAUGUUCAGAACCGUAUAACAAGCGUAGUGAAGAGUGCGUAGAAUUUCGAGCCAUGAAUUAAACAAUAAAUUAAAAUUUAGCGAAAUUAUUUUAAAGGGAAGUAGUAUGAACUGUAAUAUAUUGUUAUUACGUAAAUUCUGUGUAAAUGUUGAAUAUCUGAAUCUUUAGUCUGCAAUGUUGACGGCAAAGUGCGAGGAUGGCAAUACUUUGGAGCGAGUCCGAACGGUGUUUAAAAUGAUCAACAGGGAGUUGUGGAAGAUGUUCAUUAUUACACUGUAAGGNNNNNNNNNNNNNNNNNNNNNNNNNNNNNNNNNNNNNNNNNNNNNNNNNNNNNNNNNNNNNNNNNNNNNNNNNNNNNNNNNNNNNNNNNNNNNNNNNNNNCUCCUCUCUUGCAAGCUCCAAGAUCAAGCCUCCAAGCACCAACAAGGUGGGAAGAGAAGGAGAGGAAAAUGCUCCAAGUCCUCAAGCUAGAUUCUCCUCCUCUUCUUCUCCUUCUUCUUCUUCUCUUCAUUUUUCCCCUUCUUCUCUCUAGGGUGUUGGGAGAAUGAGAGAAUGAGAAAUGAGAAAAGGGAGAGGGUGAAAUGGCCAUAUAGGCCAUCAAAUGCAACAAAAUCCAAAGAGGCCCCUCAAUUUCCCAAUAUUGCAACAGCCCGUACUGGGCAGUUUUCGGACUGAGGGACCGGUCUCCUGACAUGGGACCGGUCUCUCGGCCUGCCCCGAAAAUCCAACGUUCGGGAACCGGUCUCUCCCCGCAUGGGACCGGUCUCUCCCCGCGUGGACGCGCUCGGGGACCGGUCUCACCCGCCAGGGACCGGUUGCCUCAAGGCUGCCGCAAUACUAUUCCGGGGGGGACCGGUCUCUCCCACUCACGUUUUCGAAUUUUUUUAGGUCGGAAAACAUUCUACGACCCUCCACCAAGUGUGGAAAAGCUCGAAACACAUCCAAUCACUCGAACCUCGCAAUUUGCACAGGUCCAGUGUGCUACAGAUGACCCACCACUUCUUUGGGUCAAGAACUCCCCUAUCUUCAAUAGAGUCGUGCUCAUCAAAUCCCUUUCCGGCAGUGGAAAAAUUUGCAAACUCCUCUUUUACAACUCUUCUUUCUUCAUUAUUUGGAAAAAAUCUUUUUAAGCACUUGUUUCUCAUCUUUGAUAUCUCCAAAUCCCUAUGCGGAGGAACUCGAUUUAGAUCCUCAUUAAGCCACGAUGAGCUAUAGUAUCUAAUGAAUAUAAGAAAAAUAAAAAUUAGGAUAUGAUAGUUGUAUUACAAAAUACAAAUGAACAAAAGUAUACAUAAGGUUUAGGGGAAAAAAAUUACCUAGGUUCAAAGAACGUGCCAAGCAAUGAAGUGGAGUAUUGCUUUUAGCCCAUCGGUCAAUCAAAAUUUUGUGCACAACGGAAUAAAAUGAUGAUUCCUCGUUUUCUUUCUUUCCUUCACGCCUAUAUAUAGCCACUUUCACCUUUUCUAUCAUGGAGUCCCAAGUUUCAUACAUCGAAUGUAAGCCAAGCUUGUCGGUAUCGGCAAUCCGAAGCAUCUCAUAUAUGGGUUCGGUAAAAGAAAGAAUAUAGUUAAUUUGAUCCCACCACAAGUCAUUGAGAAUUCUAUCUUUUACAAAUUGUGCUUUCCCUACAUCAUCCUCCCUAUAGCUAACCCAUUUGUCACUAAUACCCAUAUUUUGAAGACCCCGUUUGAUUUGCUUGAAUCGUCUUAGCAUGACGAUUACCGAAGCGAAUCGAGUCUCGGCCACCGCAAGCAUUUUCAAGUUGACAAACUCAUUAAAGAUUGCCAACCUCAUGGAAUGAUUCAAGAUAAAAUUCUUGAUGCAUGCUACAUCCUCCGCUAUGAUAGUAAUCCAACUACAUUCAUCAAAAGUAAUUUCAUUGGCCUCGGUAUUCUUAGCCGCGCAAAUAUUUUUUAAUGCAAGGUUCAAUGUGUGCACAACACAAGGAGUCCAAAAUAUUGAAGGAAAUUGCGCUUCAAUCAACAUUCCCGCGCUUUGCACACGGGAGCAUUAUCUGUUAUCACUUGAACCACAUUUUGGGGUCCAACCUCUUCAACAACUUUCGAAAUCAUGCUAGCAAUAAAAUAUUUAUCCUUAUAUUCCCCUUCGCAAUUGAUCGCUUUUAGGAACAUCGGUCCACUCUCUUAUGGCCAAAAAGUUGAUCAACGGCCUUCUUUGUGCAUCGGUCCAUCCAUCACAUACAAUGCUUAAACCUUUCUCCCUCCAAGUGCUUUUUAUAGGCUCCAAUAACCUCUCAAUAUUUGUUCUUUCUUGUUGAAGAAGACUAGUUCUCAGCAUAUUAUAAUUGGGAGGUAUAUAAUCUGAAAUAUUAUGACUAGCCGCAAAAGUAUAGAAGCUAACAUAAUAAGGAUUUCUUGCAAGAUUAAAGGGCAAACCACCGGAAUAAAACAUUCUAGCAAUCUCACAAUGUAGCUGGUUUCGAGCCGCCACGUUGAAAGACUUCUCUAGAGCUGUUUCACGAGUUGGUGUUGCCCUUUUUUUUCUUGGCUCGAAAGAUUGCACCCCCAUACUCUCUAUACUUGUGUCAGAAGAUUUGGUAAUAGUUUUUGGCAAAGGAACUUGUUUAGGGAUAGAAUUCUUUAACCUUAAUUCUACCUCUUCAACAAGUCUUUUCAUCUCCGCAAUAUUAUCACUAGUAACCUUAGAGCAACCUUUGAUUCCUUGUCCUGAAAUUCUCAACAAAUGGGCUUUGACCCUAUAAUAGGAUCCAUUAUAAACUUGUUUGCAAAAAUUGCAUUCGAAUCUCAUGUUUCCUCCACCAUCCCCUAACUUUUCCACCUUUUUUACAUACUUUCAUAAUGGAGUAUUAUCAUUAAUACUACUUGAACUACCACUAGUACUACCUCUUGUACCGCUACUGCUACCAUCGGUAGAAGCUUGACUCUCACUAUUCAUUUUCUAUAAUCCUAUGCAUGUCAAGAUAAAUAAAUACAUGUAAUUAAUAUAACAUUAUUGAUAACAACAUAAAGCACAAACAGUGAAAUACAAUUUCAAUAUAGAAAAAUAUAAUGCAAUUACAUAUGUGAUGUGAGAUCCUCUUUAAGAUUCAUUCCUAAAAUAACUAAUCAUUCCUAAAAUAAAAGAUUUAUUCCUAAAGAUUCGUUCCUAAAAUGCAAUGCAAUUAAACAUUCAUUCCUAAAAUAACUAAUCAGUAAUCACUAAUCAGUAAUCAAUAAUCAAUAAUCAUGCAAUUAUCUUUUGCCUAUUAAAUAGUAUAGCUAUAUAAGGUUCUAGACUUCUAGUAUGUGAAAUAUAAAUCUUUAAGAUUUUAUCAAAGAAAAAUAUACUAGCAUUUAAAAAGAUAGAGGAAAAAAAAUACUAUUAUGCUAUUUUGUAUAAUCUUUGUAGGUUAGUGAGUAGUAACAUUAUUGGCCAAUUAAAAAAAAAGAAAAGCAAAAGUUAAACCCUAAUAAACAUCUAAACCCAUGGUAUUUAAAGGGAUUUAAAAGCCCAAUAGGGUUAAAUCUAAAAGAGAGAGAGAGAGAGAGAGAGAGAGAGAGAGAGAAAGAGAGAGAGUUGAAACUUGAAAGCUUGUGAAGUUGAAUGGGGGAGGGGGGAGGGGGGAGAGAACCUCAAGUUCCUGCAACUCUGCAAGCUGUAGCGAGGCUACGAGGAAGAUGCUGCGAGGCUGCCGCUCGCUGCAAGGAAGAUGGCCACCGCUGCUCGCUGCAAGGAAGAUGGCUGCUGCUCGCUGUGAGGAAGAUGGCCACCGCUGCUCGCUGUGAGGAAGAUGGCCACCGCUCCGAUCUUUCUCUCUCUCGGUAUUUCUCUCUCUUGCAGCAGGCGGAAUAGUCCGCUCUUUCUCUCUCGGUAUUUCUCUCUCUCGCAACAAAAGAAAAAGUGGAAUAGCUAGGGCUUUAUUUGUUUCUUAGGGUUUUGGAUGCGGGUAUUUUUAAAAAUUUUUAAAUCCGACCCGUUUAGACCUAAUAUUAUGUCUCACGUAUACUGUCCGUAUCCCGAAACGUGUCCAUCCGUAUCCCAAAACAUGUCCCGCCGUGUCCCAACGUAUCAGACCCGUAUCCGAUUUUUUUUAAUUUUUUAAAAAUUCCAGAUACUUCAAUCCCGUAUCCGAUACGUAUCGGGCUCGUAUCGUAUUCGAUACGUAUCGGAUACGAGUACGGGUUGUGAUUUGGAGUAUCUGUGCAUCAUAGCAUACUACCUAUACGAGGAGGUCAAAUGCUCUUAGGAUAGCUUAUAAUUCAGCUCCAUCCAAGGUCUUGCCUGGCUUCUUAUCUCAAUUUUCCUUUAUUAUUAUUUUGUUCAUGACAAAAUAAUUUCUGAAGUACUACUUCAUCUAUUCACUUGUGUUAAUUAAAUACUCCUUUUCUAGCCAAAUAAUACAAGCAAUCUAAAAGCACUUUGCUUGGAACUUCUAUUUGUUUUGUACAGUAAUUGAUGUAGAGCUUCUUUGUUCCUUGUAAAUUGUUACGUCUUGGCAUGGAAGUCCAACCAGCAUGGAACAGACUUGCCACACAGACAACCUCCUCUGUACGUGAAAUGUGUAAAUGUACAAACAACUUGUUAACUAUAAAUGAUCAUUGCCUGUCUACCCUUCCAAAGUUUCCUACUUCCAAUUAUCCCUUAAAAAUUCUUGUGCUAAAAUCUACGCCUCUAAAGUUUCAAAUUCAUUUAAAUUAACCCUCAAAACAGCGAUACAUAUUAAAAUAAGACAAAGUUUAGAGGGGUAUUGUCAUGCCCGGGUAUCAGCGGAAGCAUACCCGAUACAUGCACAGAUCCGCCAUAUACCUGUAGUAUACAAGGCGUCUACUAAAAUCAUAUCCGAAAAGAAACAAUCAAUAGAAGAAUCUACCUUGAUAUCAGAGCAUAGAAUGCACAGAAAGUACUAACAACUAGAGAGUAAGUGAUACAAAACUCCACUAAAAUCAACCGAAAGUAAAAACAUAAGAUUGUAUAGUAUAACACUCUAACAACAUGUGUACAACCCAAAAAAACACUAAACAGCUCAAAUACAAGUGGUAGUCUCUCUAUACAAGGGUACACAUCACCUUCGUCAACAAAAUUGAAGCGGCGAGGUGAUCACCUAGCGGGACUCCAAGCUAUGGCUAGCUAGACGCGACUCCCUUGCCGCGAUCCCUAGCCUCUCCCGUAGUGGAUGGCUCUGUAAACCAACAACAACAAAAAGGACGUGAGAACUAUUAAACAAUAGUUCCCAGUGGAUAAGCCGCGGACCUCAGCGAAUUACACCACUAGGUUUAUAAUGAACUAGAAGAAAAAUAAGUACAGCUACUACAUGAUAGAAAUAACAAUAAUAAUAAACAAUUAUCAUGUAACUAUAAUCUCAAAUGUAACAACUAACUUGUAGCAAGUAAAGUAACUAUACAUAAUUAACAUGUCAUAUCAUCUUGUAAAUGCACACUGUCUCGUAGUGACCAUUCUAUGAAUACAAUUUAGUAGCUUUGUUUAAUUCUUAAGGACCUACACAAGGUAGUUCGGCUUGUGCUGCGCCUAAUGGCCCCGUGGUAGUAUACAUUUUCCACGGCAAUUCACUUCAGCACCCAAUCCCACAUGGGCGAGCAAUCUGUCGCGUAGGCCAACUCCGGAGUGCCGGUGUAAGGUACCGGACUUCUAACUUAUGAAGUUACGGCGUAUAUUAGUUUAGAGAGCCAUUGGAGUGGUUCCGGCGAAGUUCGGUGAAGUUCGGGAGCAUUCGGGCGUUUCAGUGCGCGUGGGCGCGAAAACGGAACCCGAAAGGCUAUGUUGGACUAUGAACUAAAUCCGACAUUAGCGUGGAUGAAAUGAUGAUGUAAAUACGCUCGAAAACAUGUUUGGAGGGUCUUAGCUCGAUUUGAAAUGAAUCGGAGACCAAACGAGCAAAAACGAGCGAAAACGGACGAAAGCUGAAAUUUGGCUAAGUCUGGGCUGGAGGACUUACGAGGUCCGGUCCCUUAGCCAAGGAUCGGUCCCUCAAGGUCCGGUCCCUCAUGCAAGGAUCGGUCCUCGUAGCCCGAAAAUGCCCAGUUCGGGCUGUUGCAAGAGAGGCAUUGUUGAGGUGGUUUCCAGCAAUUUUGCACUUAUGAGAGGGUAUAGAACAAGGGCUUUCUCUCUCUCCCUCAUUUCUUGUGUUCCAACCUAAAAGAACACUCCCUCUCUCUCUCUAAACUCUUUCUCUCUCUCAAAGAGGAUGGAUCUUAGAGGAGGGGAAGAAGGAGAAGGAGGCUAGGAAGAAGAAUCUUCUUCCUCUCAUCUUCUUCCUCACCAUUGGAGGAGUUGAUUGAGGUAAGCUUUGAUGCUUAACAAUGGUAGAUCUCUAGGGUGUCGAUUUUAAGCUCUAGAUUUGGUUUCGUAGGAACCCUAACAUGCUAAUGAGAUGUUUAUUGCUUGAAUCCAAGGUUUAUAUAGUGUAUUAUUGCAAUAGAUGAAAUCUAGGGUUCAAAUGGGGGUUUUGUAAAGUAUAGCUGUUUGAUCUAAAUUAAUCUUAUAAAAACCUAAUUGCUAGGUACACGAACGCGUUGGCGAAGUCGGUUCGGCGAUUCGUCGAGCCUACGCGAAGUUAUAGGGAAAACGGACCGUUAGAGCUUCGUUUCCGCCUGGAAAGCCGAGGCGACGUCCAAAAAUUACGAGAACGGAUCUGGAGCACCGUGGGGGCUAGCUGUAGACCUUAAAUCUCCGGAUUGCGGAUUGGUGGUGGUUCGGUGACCGAGUGCGAGUUCGAGCCGAACCAGGCGGCGGGUGCCGCGGGCGGCCGAUUGCAAGUGACUACAAGCAAUCGGAACGCGAUAAUAGGUGGGUUGUGCUUACCGAAGCGACUAGGUCGCCUACAUGUCAAAGUGGACUAUGAGUUCUUGUUGACGCAUAUGUAUGGGCAUGAUGGCAUUGUAGAGCAUGCUAGAGCAAAUAAAUAGAAAUGUAUGCAUGUAAACCUAAUUACUUGGUUUAGAGACUUAUGCUAGUUGAUAAUGGCAUGUUGAUGCAUUGAAAAUAUAUGCUAGUUCUAGUUUCAUGUUGAUGUGCAAGAGCAUAUAAGUGAAUGAUAACAUGUUGUAGAUCAUGUUAGAAAGAACAUAUAUGAUGACAUUGUAAGGAUGUGCAUGAGAAUAUGUACCUAUUGUAAGGAAGUGAAUUCUCGAAACUCGAGGAUUAGACUUCGACCAGAAUCGACUAGUUGUCGUGUGCGUAGGCUUCGGAAAGUCCGAAGGUGUUUAUAAUGCGUAAAGUGCAUUAAGGAAGGGUCCGCGAGAGCACCAGUGCAAAACUUGCACUGGAGCAGAAAUGCUCUCGGGGACCGGUCCCUGGCAGGGAGGGACCGGUCCCAUCAGGCUGGGUUGUGGAGGUCUCUGAUGAGACCGGUCCCUGGUGGGCAGGGACCGGUUCCCGAACGUUGGCCUGGCGAGACUUAGCCAAAUUUGGCUAAGUCCCGAGAAUGCAGCUCUCGGGAACCGGUCUCUCGGACAAGGACCGGUCUCCCGGGGACCGGUCUCUCAGGCAAGGACCGGUUCCCGAACGCGAAAAUCCCUCUGCUCGAAAUGGCAGCCUUCGGGGACCGGUCCCAAGUCGGGGAGACCGGUCCCUCACUGCGAAAAUGCCCAAUGAGGGCUGAUUCUAAAGAUGAAAAGUUGAGGGGGCUAGUUGCAAAAUGGCCUUUAAUAGGGCUUGGGGAUCUCUCUCUCACCCUCAGUUGCUCUCUCUCUCUCUCUCACUCUUUCCCUUUCUCUCUCUAGGAAAGAAAAGAAAAGAAAGAGAAGAAGGAGAAGAAGAAGAAGAGGAAGGAGAAGAAGGGAAGAAAGAAGAAGAAAGAGAAGGAGAAGACUAAGAAGAAGAAGAAGAAGACAUCUUCUUCUCUCCCUCUCCCUCAAGCUUGAAGGAGUCUUGAAGAGAGGUAAACUCCAAAUCCCUUUAAUGGUAUUUCUAGGGUUUGGGGGUUUUAGGGUUUAGAAUUGGUUCAAAUGGAACCUAUUAGGGAUAAAUGGAAGGUUCGAGCUCGCAAUUGAAGCUCGCACCGUGGAUUUCCUUCCCGUUGCCAUUUUAGGGCACGGAUUGGGGUUUUGGGAAAUCUAGGGUUUUGAUCUAAUUUGUUGGGUCGCUAACCUAAUUGCUAGGUCUUUGAACGCGUCGGCGAAGACGGUUUGCCGAUCCGACGAGCGGGUGCGGAGUUAUCGCCGAAUCGGGUACUCGAGGGCUCGCUUUGCCCCGAGGAGUUUAGGCGGCGUGCAAGAACCGCAACGUCGAGCUUUCUAUUAUCGCGGCAUCGCCAAGAGGUGGGUGGUGUCCAUCCCGAAGCAAUCGGGCUCCCUUCUAUGUCUUAGUACAUGUCGAUUCUGCAUCUUGUAUUAUUGCAUUAUAGGAUUAUCAUGCAUUGCCUUUCCUUAUGCCAUCCUUGAUGAUAUCGUAGCGUACAUUGGAUAUUUGAUAUAUUGGAUUGAUAAGGAUUGGGUCUAGAUUGUGAAUCCUAUAAUGUAAAGGAAAUGAUGAACUAUGAAUGAGUGGCAUCUAGUCAAUAGUAAACCAUGAACGAGUGGCAUCUAGUCGAUAGCGAACAAACGGACAAUCUAGUUAAUAGUGUAUGUGACACCUAUGGACUAUAUGAUGAUUGUGACUCUAGAGGACAGGGUAUCCUCGAGCUUAGAGGAUUGGAUCAUGCUCACGGUCUGUUAAAUCUUGUGAUGGAAGCCCCACACAAGUAGUGCGCUCCGGAUGUUGGUCACGCCAGGGAUUGCCUAUAUGGCCCCGCCAGACGGUCUCGGGUCCGUAGUGUGAGUUGAUUCUCCCUACGUGUCGAGAUGGCUAGUGAGCUGUAGGCGAGCCUUCGGGUAAGCCAUGAGAUUAAUGGACAAGUAAAUAGCUUUGCCUUUGGACAUGAUGAUGGGUUAGUCGUUUAUCUAUUCCCUUGUACAUGCAUUCAUAUAUUAUGAUUGGGCAUAGUAGCGUAGCUUCAUUUCCGUCAUUUACAGCUUUCCUUAUCUAUCUAUCUAUCCAUCUAUUGGUAUAUCUACUUGUGCCCGCUUGGACCUAGUGGGGAGAUCGGCGGAGUCGGCGGCCGAACCCACUGGGAACUAAGGAAGUUAGUUCUCACCCCCAUUUUACUACAGGUUCCAGUUCGGGUGUCCCCGGUGAGCGUGAGGAUCGCGGUAAGGGCCCGGCGCUUUAGUAGCAUUAGCUACCUUCCUUUUUGCACUAGCCGUCACCCUUUUGUACUUGAGAGUAGAUGAUGUAUAGGGUGAGGUGGAGUGAUUGUAUUUAUAUUUUGGAAGAAUGUAAAAGAUGUAAUUGAAUGAGUUAAGUCAAAUGAAUGUAAUAGAUAGCUCUUCUCUCUUGAUGUACUUGUAUAUGUUUUUAUACUGGUAUCUUGCUCUUGUUUGUCGCACUGGUGGUGCUUCUUGAUCGUGUAUUUAUGAAUUGAAUUCCUGGGUAAAUUCUUAUACAUGAUCUGUUGGUUGCCUUGGGCGGACAGGGGAGGUCCUGUCCGUUCGGCGUCUGUUCGACGCGCCCGGGCCGGACCAAAUUGGUAGCGGUCUCGGGGCGUGACACCUAUAAACCUUGAUGUGGACAAUUAGGAUGUCGAAUAGGUCGAGUGGCAUCGAACCUAGUGUUAUUAAAUAUAGGUCGGAUAUGAACCUAGUGUCGUGAACCUAGGAUGGAUAAGAAUGACAUAGAAUCUAGUGUUAUGGAACAUAGGUUGAGAUUGAACCUAGAGUUGAGUAAACCUAGGUUAUGUGAUAGAGGCAUUGAACCUAGAGUCAAUUAGACCUAGGGUGGAAAGUGCAUUAGACCUAGAUAGGUCGAUAUUGUUGGGUUUGAGACUACCCUAGAGACUUGGAAAGUGGAUUCCGGAAUCCUAGGAUUGUGAACUCGAUAGUUCUAGAGCAGUGGGUUGUGUGUGGCAGGUUCCCCUCCUACUGGACGAACUUCGAGGAUGAGUUGUUGAUUGAUUCGAGGCUGCGGGUUAUGUGUGGCAGGUUCCCCUCCCGCCGGCAGAAUCGUGCUUCGCUAGGGUGUGUGUGGCAUGUUUCCCUUCCCUAUCGGGGGUUUUGGGCUGCGGGUUGAGUGUGGCAUGUUCCUCUCCGACCGGAAAGAUCCCUGACCACGGGUGUACGCAGCUCUGGGCAACCCAUCGGCGACUUGGAUUGUGGAUUGAAGGCUGAGGUGUAUGUGAGGGUUCCUUCACCUCGAGCCGGACAGAGCGCGGAUUAUCCGCAGUUGAUUGACUCGAGGCCGAGUCGGGUGGCUAGCUUGAAUAAGGUAGAUGGAACUUUAGGGGCUUGUGGUAAUGUAAUGGAUCUAAGGUAAUAGAAACCUUAGAGGUUAGUUGGAUCUGAGCGAGAUAGCAAGAUAGAAGUAGAAUCGAGUGAUCUACUUGAGAUGUUGCAUUGUAUUCUUGCAUGAUUGCAUAUAGCAUAGUAUUGUUGCAUUUAUGAGGCAAAGCAUGUAUAUGUUAGUUGCAUAAUCAAAGUAUAUAUAUCUAUCUGUUUAUUGAACUAACCUGUUGUUGCCUCCUUUGGACCUGUUGGUCGAGCUUUUCCCUUGGGGGCCGUACCUAAUGGGAACCAUGGAGUUGGUUCUCACCCCACGUUGCUUUGGGGUGUUAUAGGUUCGUACGUGAGCGGCGCGGCGGCGCGAGGAAAGGGCGUAGCUCCGUAGGUAGCGCCCUACCUCAGAGACCAGAGAUAGAAGUAUCCCGAGUCGGCAUAUCCUAGGGGUAUAGAGAUGAAAAGAACAAAUGUAUCAAUUUUGUAAUAAGUAAAUGUUGUAAUAACUCAGAUUGUAUGUUGGAAGAAAAAUGUAAUUGUGAUGAAAAAUGCAUCUAAUGUGAAUGCUUGUAAUAGCUAGUUGUUUAUGUUUUUGAUACUUCCUUAUGCAAUCUGUAUGUUGAAUACUGUUCUUGGUGGGAACCUUUGUAUUGUAUUGAUUGCGACGCCUAGGACGUACAGGGGAAACUCUGUCCGUUCGGCGGUCUGUCGGCGUGCCUGAACCCGAUGGCGUGACAGCCGGCUUGUGGGGAGCGACCCUUACAAGCAUGUGCGAAUGAGCACAAUGGCAAGCAAACAUGAUCCAUAAUACCAGUUCCUCGGUCGUCAUAUCUCAAACACGGAAUGUCCUCUACUGACCUAUAGGUCGGGAUCUAAAUACGAUAACAAAUGCUAGUAGCAUGAAGUACAUGGUAGUUUCAUUAGUAGGAUGUCAAGUUUAACUUGUUUACCCAAGUAUAUUAAUCACAUUCUAAUACAUGUUUCAUAUGUUCUAUACAUAUGCAACAACCAUUAGAAUACACAGCAAUAUGUCAUUCUUGCUAAUUUAAGCAUAGUAUAUUUACUCGCGACUUGUCUACACAAUGAUAUGUGUUAUCAUGCAAGGAAUUUAACCUUUAUAGCUCUCUACCAAAUAGAGUAUAAACAGUAAUAUGAUGUAAAUGCAAUUAGUACAUCCCACAACUCGCUUAUGACGCCAUUAGCGACACAUAUGCAUAAUUCUAAAACUAUGCCAAGAGAUAAGAACAUAGGGGAAAGUCACCCAUUUCGGUGAGGUCAAACCCACCAAUCAGUUGACGAGUCUUAACGAUCACGUUAGCGAAGGUUUCGCUGAUCUCCAAGCGCCCUAGUAAGCAUUUUAAAGUCAGCAAAGAACUCAAUCCAAUACUCCACGUCAUUACUCAAAUAAACAUCUCAAUUAGGUCGAAUUAUACCUAAUAUGAAAUCCAAUCUCGAACUCCACUUGAAAUCGGGUUAGAAUACACCAAUUCUAACCUCUCGAAGAUUACAAACUUCAACUUAAAGUAAUCAAACUCCCUGCAGCAAACCUGCUGCGAGUAAGCAUAAAAACUGCAUUAAAGCUACCACUAGAACAUCCAAUUUCGGCAAGAUUCUCACCUAGGUUCAGACCAGAGUUAAACCUCCACUCCCACUUAGGUUGGAGCAACCCAAACCAGCUCUUAAUCACCACUAUUUUCAGCUCAAAGUGGAUAUGCAAGCUGCUGAGGACAUAAACCCGAAAUCAGCAUCACUACUACAUCAACAUAAGGCAAUAGUUAGCUAAUUACCUUCUGAAAACUUUAAUCCAGCUCUUCCCCUGAAUUUGAGUUGAAGAACCACUAUAAAACUCUACUUCUACAGCUGCUAAAACCUCUCUCAAUCAGCUGUCAUCGAAAGCAAGAAACACACUUAACCUCACUACUGUAGCUUCAACUAUGGAAAGAUUAGAGUAUAUACCUUUCAACAGCUCCCCUCAGCAAAUCCCUGUAUUAGGGUUGAAGAAAUACUGCCAAGACCCUCUUUCUACUCUGCAGGAGCUGCUCUACACCUUCCCAACCCAGCAAGCAUCAAGAAAAAGAUGAAAUCAAGCUCAAAUCCUUGAUUUCUACUUAGAGAGAGAGAAAACCUAGAGAGAGAAAGUGAAAAUAGUGCAAACCCUCACCUCUGAACUCCAGCAACCUUUGGUCAGCUGCUGGGGUCGUACUAAGGGGUUAUAGAUAAGUUUGGGAGGUGAAAAGACCAAAAUGGCCUGGCUGCCACGCAGCUGGUGCUGCUGGUGCUGCUGGUACCAGUACCCCAACACACUGGUACCGGUACCUAGUGCAAGAUGCUGAAAGUGCAUUUUACAAUGCACUUUUGCGCUACCGGCCGUUUGAUCGCUCCACUAACUUACCAAAACCUCUCUACAACCCUUUAAAAGACGUGGAAUGGUUCCAAUUACCAUCCCCACACUCGAACUUCGUAAUUUGCCAAAGUUCAGUGUACUACAGGUAUAUUUGAAACAGAGGGUAAAUAUGAAACUUAGUAACUUAGGUACUUAGGAUAUUAUCUAUAACUAUUGACAUAGGGUUAUUGACAUAUUAGUGUUAUUAUAAUAUAUGAAUUUGGCAAGCCUAACUUGAACAUGACUACAAAUUAAAAUUAGUUUCCACAAGCUUUAUGUUCAUAUUUAAAUACAUAUUCCUUUCAAGUACAUAUACAAGUUUUCAUUUUCCUUCUACAUGUUUUCCUUUGAAUUUACAUCCAAAAUGUCACUCUAUACAAAAUAGGCAUGAACUAUCUAACUCGACAUUUCUCACUACGUAAUGCUCCCAAACCCACAUAUGGUUGUACUUGAGUAACAUAGCCUGCAAGAGGUGAGAAACUAAACAAAGUUUUCUAAUGGGUACAGCAAGAUGAAAUAGGGCUAGCUGUACAAUUAGUCUAAAGGAGGGCAACAAAACAGUAGAUGUAUAAAGAAAUGAGAAAAAAUAAAUAUGCUACAUAAAAUCUAUAAAAAAGAAAGAGUAAGAUUCUUACAAUGAAUGAAGAUAAUGCAUCAAAUUCUUUUCUAUUUUACAUAUUGUCCUUUUCGGCCAAUCCAGGGUUUGUCCUUUUGGAUCGUGUGUGCACUUCCAUUAUUUUUCACGUUUUUCAGUAGUCAAUUGGGGGAGCGUUUGCACCCUUGUUCCGUUGCGCAUCGGUUAGCUGGGAGGUAAACCCCCGAAAGUCAAUAUUACUUCUCUCUAGAGUGCACCUACCACAAUAUUGCAAUCCUUGAACGGAGCUGUUUUAGCGUGCAAGAAAUUUAGCAGCAAAUCACAUGUGCAUGAUCAAUGAUGUCUACUGGUGCUGAUUGUAAUCUUAAAUUUCGACACAGUUAACUGUUUUCAAGAAGUAAAUUAUCAUAAACAAAUUGACUACUUUUAUUUCAAUAAACAUAGCAUACUUACCAGGGAAUAAACAUCCAUAUGCCUUUAGAACUUGAUAAAUAGAGACAUUCAACAAUGGGCUUAUUCAAGAUAUUCAAAGAGGAACAUGCAAGCUAUUUUCAACAAAGAAUGCAAGUAAAUUUAAGCAUUAGGAUUCAAAUAAUUUAUCAUCAUGAAUAAAAUGUAUGUUUACUUUCAGCGACAUAGCAUGCUUACUAGAUAUACGACCAUAUGCCUUUAGAAUAUGAUAAAGGUAGGUGAAACCGGCAUUAGGCAUAUUUAAAACCUGCAAUGCAGAUUAUGGAUAUUAUUUUAAACAACAAAUCUAAUUGAGUUUAAACAGUUUGUGAAAGAAUCUAGACUAGGGCAAGCUAAGCCUCUUUCCAAGCACCUACCUUUACAAGCGAAGAAGCCUCCAAAGCCGCCUUGCUUCAGAAUAGGGUUUGACUUCUCCAAUACUGCCAAAUCUGUAACCAAAACAAAUUUUUAGGUUAUAUUUUUGUUAAAUUUUGCUAGCUGUAACCAUAUUAAUAUAUAGAUGUUAUUUACAACGAAAAUCCCUAAAUUGCUCAUUUUAGGGAACAAAUUUGAAGAUUCAAGAUUGUUUUCUCAAUAUCUAGAUGAGCAAAUUUCUACUAAAAUAUUCUUAGACCAGCUUCUUACUAUAUGCUAAAACAAGGAAUUAAGCAUAUAAAUCCAAUUCUCAUGAUCUAAAACAAAACCCUAAGCUUGCAUUCAUGACUAUUCAUAUUUUGGAAACAUCAUGAAAUCCAUUUCAAUUAACCAUUUAGACUUAAAGCAUCAAAUUAUCAACUAAACAAACCCAUAAAAAUCAAAAUUUCUCAAUCCAUCAAGAUUCUUACAUCUAGUGUGGUAAUUUAGGGUUUUCUAACCUUUUUAAUCCAAAUUAGUUGGAUAAUCCAAGUUGGGUUAAGCUUUUAGCAAGAUUUUUCUAUAAAUUUUACUAUGACUUUUACCUUAAUUGCAAGUGGGAUAGAGGGGGAAAUGGAGGACAUAGGGGAAGAAGAAUGAGAGAGAGAAAGAGUCGGCUGGAGAAGAAGAAAGGGUCAGAGAAAGGGAUAAGGAUUGGCCAUUUUGGGUAAGCCCUCUGAACCUUUCAAAAUUUACAAUAAUCUAAUUUAAAUUUGUGGACUUAUUUGGAUAUGUAGGGCUUUUCAGAUGGUUGAUAAGCUGAAAUUUGCUAUUUGUGCUCAACUAAAAAUUAAGAGUGAUAAUUUUAAUUAUUUAUUAAGUUUCCGAGCAAAAGUCAUAUGGGCCGUAUUCAGAUCCUGAAUUAACCACUUAGGUAUUAGAAAAACACGAAACUUUCUGAUCAAUCUGAAAAUAGGGUUAUCAUUAAAACGAUACAUUUUCUAUGAUGUUUUGAAGCAGUUCAAGCCGUUAAAUAGUUAAAUUGUUCUCAACUCAAUAACCUAAGUUGGUUUAUUUCAUUUUUUAUCAUCGCCCUGAUUUAGUCCAUAAUUGGAUUUAGGAUGCUUUUGAACGCCUAGCUCAUGCUGAUUUCACAUUUGACAUAUUCAAAUUCUAUUUUGUUUUAUUUUAUUCAAAUUAGGUGUAGUAAAUAAAUAGUUCAAAUAACUUACGAAUCUAUGGCUGAAUAAGAACUUGGUGUUUUCUUUCGCCUAAAUAAAAUAUUAGCUAUCUUGCCCAUUUGUUAGUAGAUUCAUGUGCUUGAAUACAAACUAAAGAAUCUAUUAUUUGGGAAGAAAACUUAUAGUGAUUAUUUAUCUUUUCCUUAAUCUAGUGUUAUUCAAAUUAUUAAUAUAAACAGACAGACUAUGAGACUUUGAAGAUCAUCAACAAUCCUAAACAUGCGAGCUCCCAUCCUCUGGCAUAUUGCCAUGAUGAUUAUUAAUGCUAGUGUUGCACAACAGCUCUGCAGCGUGGUCGACUUGUUGCCUCAUCGACGUAUUCUCAUUUUGAAGGCGUCCAACUUCGUUGAGUGCAUUACUGUAACAUUCUUUUAGGAAAUAGUAGUCGAACUAGAGUUGGUUGUGGUUGCUACAUAACUGUUCGUACAAAGCUUUAUAAACCUUUAAGUCAUCAUAGUUGAUAUCGGCAACAUCAAAAUUAAGUGCUUUCUUCUAGCAUAUAAUUGCUUGAUGAGCGGCUUUUUGCUCUGCUAACUCAGCAGUAAUACAUUUUUGACCAAACCACUUAAAAACCUCUUCAGUUCCAUCAAGAUUUGCAAUUUUUAUUUCAACACAUCCCACAUACAAUUCAUCAGCACCGAAUAUUGCACCAUAAUUAGGAAGAGGAAGGUGAAGAACCUCUAGUAUCUUGAUGAGCAAUUGCUUAUAUGAUACUGGUAGUGUCGCCAUUGUCCUUUAAACUUUAAAAAACGAAAUGAAGAAGACGAGAAAGCCACAUUUAAGUUAAGGCAUAGAAUUACCAAAUGCAAAAUAAUUAAUAUAUGACAAAGAUUCAGACUUGUGUUUUGAAUCAAGAAUAUUUAAUGCAUUAAAUUUUUUAAUUUUGAGCCUCCAAUGCUAUCCCCUAGAGAACGAAAAAUUUUGUACCAUCUUUGCAUGCAUUUUUCAAUAUUCUUAGAUCAAAAAAUAAAGAAUUGAGACAUAUCUAUAAUAUGUACGCCGUAAAUAAAUACAUAAGACACCUAAAAGCACCAAGAUCUCCUUCAAACAAAUAAGCCAUUUAUUUACUUUAUUGUAAAUUCUGUUACCAUUUCAUAGGGAAUUGUUGAAAUGUAAACAGCAUAGUAAGUUAAAGAAACUUAGUAUGAAAUUUUGAUAAUUGAUCUUUUAGUUAAUUAAAAUAAAGAAGCCCAAAGGAUGUAAUUAAUUAACUACACUAUUAAUUUUUUUUAUCCAGGUAAGUCAGUUAAAAACCUAUAUAUAUACACCCCCAAAAAAGGUAGGAACUGGAAAAAAAGAAAAAGAACAACGAAAAUCCUAAUUCCAAAUACAUUAAACUGCUGGACAUUUUUCCCCACAUUAAACAUACCUUGUUCAAAAUAGUAAGGCAUUUUCUUAUCGUUUUAGACAAAGGCAUCGGAAUAUAAACAUAGAGCAAGUACAUAAAACUUUGGACAAAAUGGAAUUUUCGUAACCAAUUACUAAUUUAUUUUAAUUAAGGGAGUAAUGAAAAAUAAAAUGCAUCUAACAUAAAGAGACGAAAAGGCUGUAAUUAAUUAGUUGUGUUUUAAAAAUUUAUCUACGAAGUCAGCGAAAUUUUAAGAAAGAUUAAAUUAAGGAAACUUUGCACAAAAUUUUGAUAACUGAUCAUUAAUUUAUUUUAAUUAAGUGAGUCAGGAAAGAAGAAACCAAAAGAAUAUAAUUAAUUAGUUACACAUUUAUUUAGUUUUUUUAUUUAUCUAAGUUUAUCGUUCUAGUAUAGAAAGAAACAUAUUUGUUUAGCCUAAAAUAUUAAUUUAUGUAUUUUUAUACCAACAAGAAGUAUACUCUAUGAGAGUAUACAUCAACAUAGUUUUACCUUACCUUACGAAAGUAGAAGAUAUGGACCCCAAAUUAUUCUACAAAAAUACAUGGAUAUGACUGUCUGGAUCUUACAUCAUCUUGGAUCCUCCUCACAAAAUUAGGAGAUAGAGCCAAGGAAAAUUAUUCCUCCUUCCUAAAGGAAAUGGGCCCCAAUAACUCUAGUAGAAGUUGUAAGUGUAUAUAUAUAACAAAUUGGAGAAUAUUCUAUUAUGGUUGAUGUUGAAGGACAAGCAGGUGGAGACAAAGCUAAAGGUUCAUGCACCCUGUGUUUGAUGUUAAACAACAUUGCUAUAUAUAGAAAAACUUGGGGAGGAUGCAUGCGUCGGAAUGAUAAGAAAGAAAGGAAAAGGAAAACGAAUAUUCUAUAUACUAUGGGAAAUCUUGUAAGAGAAAAGUUUAUCUUGUGGAAAAUUAUAGUUCGGUCCUCAAUUGUUUGUUUUGUGGCAUUUUGGUUUAGGUAGGCUUGAAUUUCCAAACCAGUAGCACAUUAAUGAAUUAAGUAAACUAAAUAUUCCAUUGUUAGUGGUUAAGUAACUUAUUUUUCUGGGUCAAUUUAAUAAUUUCUAAGCUUUCAUGAUUUCUAGGUCGGUUCUGCUGAAUUAUUGGAAUGAAUUCUGACAACCCAAUUUAGUUGCGUAAAUAUAAAUAUUUUCGAAAUAUGAAAGUAAUGUGGUAGUAUUACAAUUAGCCAAUUAAAAUUAGCUAAUCCAAUUUAGUUAGAUAAAUAUUGGGCCCAAAAUUAAGUUACUUAACUCACACCACAGCAAAUUUUCUUAGACUUGAAAGAUGAAAUGUGGUAAAUAUAUGUUGCUAAAUUACACUGCAAGGCCUUAAAUUAGAAAUUUCGAUAACAAUUCACUGAUCAAAUUUUAAUCUACCAUAUUUCCUAGGUUGGUUUUGUAAACUAUUAUAACAUAGCAGAUAACUACUUAAGGCAUACAAUCGUAGACAGUUGUGUAAUUAUUAAUAUUUUAUGAAAAAAUAUAAAAGUGAUGCAAAUCGCUUGUACCUUUUAUCUUUUCUACCCAAAAUUUGAAUUCCAUUGUAUGCUUAAUUACUGAAGCUGUUUGGUUAAAUUGUGAAUUAUUAGCGAUGAUAUUAUUAGUUCAAAAAAAUCGAGUUUAUCUUUGAGUCUGAGUGCAGUGCAAGCACAAAGACAAUGUUUUUUUUUUUAUUUAUCUAGUCAAGUUAGCAGUUCUGAGCAUGUAUCAUUGUUGGUUCUUGAAGUCUAAGUUUAUCUUCGAAUUCAAACCCGCACGGUUACUGCAAACAUGACAUCCAAUUUCCAUCCCAACUGUGCCGAUCUACAGGUUUUUUUUCAGAUGAGAUCACUCUACAAUUCACUGCACAAAUUCAAUUGGAUGCACUUCUAAUCUUCCCAACUAUAUAAACUACUUCUUUAGGUCUUGCAGGAAGAAGCAAGGAAAUGUUUUUUUGAGAUGUUAAUUAUUCUAAAAGAUUAAAAGCUCUAAAAAUCAAAGAAACUAAAGAGAAAAAAAGGAAAAUUUUUUUGAGAUGUCAAUUGUGCUAAAAGAUUAAAAGCUUUAAAAAAUAAAGAAACUACAGAAAGGUUCUAAAGCUCAAACAAAAGUUAGAAAAAAAAAAAAACUACGGCAGCCCCAAGUCGUUCCCUCUGCGCCUUUCGGCGCCGCUUUCUUCACCAAAUGAAAACAAAUUUACAUAACAAUUUUGCCGAAAAUGUCACGCCCGGGUAUCAGCGGAAGCCUAUACAUGCACAGACCCGCCAUAUUCCUGAAGUAUAUAAGGCGUCUACCAAAACCAUGCUAGAAAAGUAACAUUCAACAUAAGUAUCUAACAUGGUAUCAGAGCAUAGAAUGUACAAAAUGUACUAGAAGUACUAAAAGCAAGAGUAUAACAUAUACAAUAUCUACUAAGGACACUAGAAAGCAAGAGCUGAAAACUAUGAAUACAACUCUCCAACAACCACAUACAUCACACAAUCACAAAACAACUAUAUAUACACAUAUGGUAGUCUUUAUACACGGGUAAAACAUCAUCCUCGUCAGCACAACCCAAAAUAGCGAGGUAAUCACCUAGCGGGACUCCAAGCUAUGCCUAGCUAGACGCGACUCCCUUGCCGCGAUUCCUAGCCUCUUCCGCAGUGGAUGGCUCUGUAAAUAAAACAACAAUAAAGAGGGUGUGAGAACUAUUAGUCAAUAGUUCCCAGUGGGUAAGCCGCCAACCUCAGCGAAUUACACCACUAGGUUCACGAUGUAUAAAGAGAAAGCAAGUACAACUACAACAUGAUAAGAAUAACAAUGAUAAUAAGCAACUAAUGAGUAGUAGAACUACUAUGUUUCCAAUGCAACAACAAUGAUGCAACAAGUAACUACUCUACACAAGUAAGCAUGCUAUAUCGUCUCAUAAAUACACACUAUCUAGUAGUGACCAUUAUAUCAAUACAAUUUAGUAUCUUUGUUCAAUUCAUAAGGACCUACACAAGGUAGUCCAGCUUGCGUCCCGCCUAAUGGCCUCGUGGUAGUAUACACUCCCCACGACAAUCCACUUCAGCACCGAAUCCCGCACAGGCGAGCACAAUGUCGUGUAGGCCAACUCCGGAGUGCUGGCUUGUGGAGAGCGACCCUCACAAGCAUGUGCGAAUGAGCACAAUGGCAAGCAAGCAUGAUCCAUAAUGUAAGGUUCUCAAUCGUCAUGUCUCAAACAUGGAAUGUCCUUUACCGACCUAUAGGUCGGGAUCUAAGUACAAUAUCAGGUGCUAGUUAUCAACUAUAUCAUAGCUAGUAACAUAAAAUUCAUGCUAGUUUUAUCAAUUAGAUGCCUAGUUUAACUUGUCUACACAAGUAUGUUAACCACUUUCUAAUACAUGUUUCAUAUGUUCAAUGCAUAUACAAUACCCACUAGGUUAUAAUAACAACAUAUCAUUCUUGCUAGUCUAAGUAUAGUGUAUUCAUUGGCAACUUGCCUACACAAGUAUAUGCGUCAUCAUGCAUGGAAUUUAACCUCUUUAGCUCUCUACCAUAUAGAGUAUAACCUGCCAUAUGAUGUAAAUAUUACUAGUACAUCCAACAAUUCACUUAUGAUGCCGUUAGCGAAACAUAUGCAUAAUUCUAGCUCUACGCCAAGAAUAAGAACAUAGGGGGAAUUCACCCAUUUCGGUGAGGUCAAACCCACCAAAUCGCUGUCGACUCUUGUCGAUCUCGCGAGCGAAGGUGUUCGCUAGUCUCCAAGCAUCCAAACAAGCAUACUAAAUCAGCUAGGAGCUUCAACCAAGCUUCACAUAAGAAUCUCACAUAAUCACUCCACUUAGGUAGAAUUUUACCUAGUAUAAAAUACCAAACUUGAACUCCACUUCAAUUCAGGUUGGAGCACAUCAAAACCAACCUACAAGAGUCACUAAAACUCAGCCAAAGUGGUUCCAAUAAUCUGCUGUGAGCUAACAUCAAAAACACCACUACUUCUAUCACCAAUACAACUACUAUAGCAUCAAACUAGAGAGAGAAGUUAGUUAAUCACCUUCCAAAGCUCCAACUCAGUUCCUACUGAGUUAGGGUUGAAGAAACACAGCAAAACAACUCUUCCCACACUUCAAAAGUUGCUCCACAAGUCUCCAAACCAGCUAGCAACAAGUGAGGGGAAGAAAACAAGCUCAAAUCACUAGUUUCCACUUCAAAAAUGGAAAAACCCUAGAGAGAGAAAGAGGAAGGCUCUUACCCUGUUUCUCCAACUCAAACAUGAUGAACCAGCUGGGGGGGUCGACCAGGGGCUUAAAAGGAUAAGCCUUGAAGUGAAAUUACCAAAAAGAUCUUAAUCCACGCAGCUGCUGCAUUGGGUACCGGUACUCGGGCCAAGGGGUACCGGUACUCAGUACAAAAACCAGCAUUUCGCAUUUUAAUGCUAAUUCACUUCUCCGGCCACUUAAUCACUCAGGUGACAUGCCGAAAACCUCUCAAUAACCCUUCAUAAGAUCUAGAAUAGUUCCACUUACUAUUCUAAUACUAGAACUUCGCAAUUUGCUAAAGUUCAGUGUACUACAGAAAAAAGUAAAAUUAAACUAGGCACUAAAUGUGAAAACAGGAAAACAACUUAAAAUAAUUUUUCGAAAAUGGAGCAAAAUAUUGUAAGCAAAUCAAUCCUCUCCCUUUCUUGACCCCCUAUUUACUAAUUCUCUUCCCUUUUUUUUUUUUUUUUCCUUCCAACUACUUUGUGCGUGUGUCCGAGAUGAGAUCAAAAAAAAUUGUAGACAGAGAGAGGGGAGAGAUAGGGAGCCAUGAAAGCUUUGAUGGGUAGAGAUGGGUUAGGAAAAAUUGUUGAGAGAGAGGGGAGAGAGAGAGAGGUGAGAGUUUUAGUUGGAGAGAGAGGUGUCAAAGGGGCACAUACAUCCCCUGUGGACAUAGAGCCUAUGUGAGGCUAUUCGAAAGGGAGAUAGAGACAAUGUAUGUGUGUGUGUGAGAGAGAGAAAAUUAAUACACCCACAGGAACUCAUAUGAAACAAAGACGCCGUAGCUCAACCAAGGAACGCCACAUAAUAUAUUAACAAUAACUAAAACUUCAGAUUUUAUAAAUAGACGACUUGACCUAACGACGGAAUGCUUCUAUUUUUUUGAUGAAUUUUCUUCAUCAAAUCAAAACAACUGCAGCAAAAAGAUUCAUAAAAAAAACUGAAAUUUAAGUAGACCGGCAAUGUUCAAGCAGCGUAAAUAUAUUAACAGUAAUUAAAACUUCAGAUUUUAUAAAACGGGCGACGUGACUUAAUGACAGAACGUCGUUUUUUUGAUGAUUUUUUUUGGCUAAAUUACAGAAAACCCCCCGUCAAAACCCGAUUUUUCACUUUCCCCCCCUGUCAUUUAAAAACCUACACAUUGCCCUUUUGUAAAAUGAAAAAUGUGCACUUCACCCCCUACCGUUAGGGUUCCGUUAUAAAAUAUUUUUUUAUGCCAAAAAUACCCAUCCGCCCUCUUCCAUGUUGCUUCGCCUGCCUCCUGCUCGCCGCCUCGCCCUCGCCCACAUCGCCUUCGCCGUCCUCGGCCGCCUCGCCUUCGCCGUCCUCCGCCGCUUCGCCUUCGCCCUCGUUGCCCUUGCCUAACUCUCUAUCAACGCCCACCUCGAUUUCCUCCCUACUGUCGCCGAAAUCGAGGGGCGGCGAAGGUGCAGGAGGAGAAGGGGGGUAGGUGGAGAAAAAAAUGGAGAGAAAUUGUGGCCGAUCGAGGUGUGAAUCGGAGUCGAUCGAGGCGGCGAUUGAGGAAGAUGAUGGAGGAGACGAAAAUGGUGAGGGGCAAAAUGGUCAUUUUACACACCUCUCCUCCCUGUGAACAUUUUUCAUUUUACAAGGAGGCAAAAUGUAGGUUUUUAAAUAAUAAGGGGGGAAAGUGAAAAAUCGGGUUUUGAUAGGGGGUUUUAUGUAAUUUAGCCCUUUUUUUUUAUCCAUCAAAUCAAAACAAAUGCAGCCAAAAAAUUCAUCCGAAAAAAACUGAAAUUUAAGCAGGUCAACAAUGUUCAGGCAGCGUAAAAUAAUUUGCAAACUACUCUAGGUGAAAUUAAAUAAGUGAAAAAUUAUUUUUGUGUGUGUGUGUGUUGGGUUAGAAAAAAUUAUAGAGAAAGAGAGCGAAGAGACUAGAUUUUUAAUUGGAGAGAGAGAAGUGCAAAAGAGACACAUGCAUCCCCUUUGAACAUAGAGGCCAUGUUAGUCCAUGUGAUUGGAAGAGAGAGACCAUGUGAGGGAGAGAGAGAAAACUCAUGUAAAAGAAAGGCCACGUGGCUCGACGAAGGAACGCCGUUUGGUUUCUACUUCAGUAUAGAGUUUAAUAAUUCUCUUAAAUAGCAAAUUAUACUUUUCUAAAUUUAUAUUAUUUUGUUACAGGCUAAUUUAUUUGUUAAAAAAUUAUGAGUCUCAAGAAAAAACUGCUAGUGCUAAGCCUGUUAAAUAAUAAAUACAUGAAUUUGGAGAUCUUUUGGUAGAAAAAGAAGUGGUACAGCAUGCUUUACACCAAGUGGUGUAGGUGGCAUGGAAAUCUGUGAUCCAAAAUAUCCUUUUCAUUUCGUACUUAGCUAGUUUGAGUUUGGAUUUUUGAUAAUUUCAGUAAGUUUAGAUUUCUACUUGCUCGAUCCGUUUUCUAAUCCCUUAGUAAGAUGUACCCUGUUUCUCUGUACUCUAAAUUGUAGCUUUAGAUUAUCGUUGUGUUUCAUAUUAAUUUGACCUCCUUUUCUCAUUUAGGAACAUUCAGCAGUUUUGACUGAUUCACUUUUCAAACCGAAACUCUAAAAUACAUGAAAAAACUAGAGUCUGUAAAAUCAAAAGAAGCUAAAAUAAGUAAAUUUCACAAUAUUGCCAGAGUGAGCAGAUGUUAGGAACGAACUUCACAUCUAAAUACAUAUUUUUGCUGAUUUUUUAGCUUAAGUCUGAUAAGUAAACAGAGAGGCUGUGAAAAGUGCAUUGUAGUUUACUUGUUAUCAGCACCUUAAUUUGCUUCUUCUUGCUACUUCUAGUGAUUGUUUAGAGUUUGAAUGCUUCUUAGUAUUGAAAAUCCUGUACACUUCUACAAGGGCAUGGAUGUUGGAACUAGUUAUCUAGUAAUAACAGGCUUCUGUCAUUGCAAUCUGGGAGUUUACUUUUAGUUAACGCAAGAACCUGACAGUGCUAAUUCUUCAGGAUAAGGUGUUCAUUUGUUCACCUAUGAGUUAAUUUAUCUUAUUCCAAGAAAAUAACUUGGAAGUCGUAUUUAUCAUGCUGCUGUGGGCAUCCUAAUCAUACUUAUCUAACAAUUGCCAUGUGAUCCUUAACUAAACAAAAGAAAUGUGCCGAUAAGAUGUUCAGGCAUCUAAAUAGUCCCGAAGUGCUUUCAGUAUUUUGGCUCAGAAGUCAGGACUCGUGGUUGUUAUCCUCAUUUUUAGUAAUACAUAACUUUCAUCUGACGCUGUACAAAAGCUACAUUGUUUCUGACAGUUUCUUUCUAUAAAAAAAUAAUUUGGUCAAUCGGCGUACCAGCAGAUAGCAGCAUAGCUACUGCAGAUGCAUAUCGAGAUAUUAGAGAAAAAUGAGACUUUCAUGAUAGUUUUCUUUCAUAAAGUGGAGAAGAUAUUAAGCGGACAGGUGUUAAAGCCAUGUGUCUAGUUCAGUCAGUUGUUGAAACAUUGAAAUCAGUUACCUGUUACCUUCUCCACUUUGCCUAACUUUUGUAGACUUCCCUAUUCUCGUAGUUUGUUGGAUUCCUUUUGUCAGCUUUCUGUAGUUGAGAACUUCAUUCAUCAAAUGAGAGAGAAUUCUUUAAUAGGAUUUGUUGGUAUACAAGGUGUUACCACCUCCUGUGAAACUACUAUGUGGAAGUAAGGGAUCUAUGGCGAACCACAUGGAUAAGUAAGAUUAUCCUGCAUAUGAACAUGAGCAAUGAGAAUGCAAUCCCCAUUGAGAUUUCCACACUAUUAGGCUGAGAAGUUGUAAGGGAAUUAACAUCAAAAUAAAUUGUUGCUGACAUAGUCCUUGUAGAUUUUCGAAUAACCAAUUGUUAUAAGUGAUCCAUGAGGUCAAGUUAUAACUAAAACUAGUUCUUUGACGAAGUGGAAAAAAUAUGGCAUAAUUAGCUCAAUGAAAUUUUGUCUCAAGUGGUUGGAAACUUAUGGUCCAUGAGAUUGAUCUGCUGUAGAUUGGAAAAAAAAGAAAAAAAAGAAUGAUAUAACGAUUGUGAAGUUGUCACGCCUUGCGGUCCCUUUUUGAAAGCCAAUUCGAAAACGGACUAUCUUUAUAAAUCAGAGUAAGCAGAAAACUACCCUUUUUUUUGAAACCUGGACCCCAAAGACCUGCAACAGACCCACCACAAAUACAGAGAAUUUUCGAAACAAACGGACAGAGCCUACCUUGUAUUUGCACGAGGUAGCACAUAGUACAAUUUAUCAACUAAAUCUCCACUCACACACACAACAAUAGAAUGUACAAGGAUCAUCAUAUUACAUCAAACAACUGGCCAUCCAUAGCCACAUCCAUCCCACAUUCAUUCACAUUCAUCCUAUAAGUUGAAAUUGUCUCCCACAUGAAGGCUUUCUUUUUAAAACUCUUAACUUCACAAAAAAUCUAAAAAAAAAACCAUUUAAAAACGUUUCCCACACGGAAACCAUUAUUUUGAAAUAGUUACCAUGGGGGUAGAAAACUAUUGAUAGAAAUUCGAGUCCAAAACAACGUGAGCAUCCAAAACCCUCAAAGUACAAUAUCCAAAAUACGAAGGUAUAGAAUAUCAAUUGAACCACAUAUAAGCCUCUACUAAAAGGUGUAAUAGGGUAACACUAUACUAUCCACAAGUCUGUCUAUGCUAAGUAUGGAGUAUGACCAAAUCGUAUACCAUAUGUCAGGAAACCCUAUCUCGGCCCUAUAACUACGGCCUCACGCACCGUCCCGACCAAUCCUGCUCCCGUCACCUGUGGAAAAAAAUGAGGGUGAGAAACCAAGAAAGGGUCUCCCAAUGGGUAACCACGUAUAGGUAAAUAAAAGCCUACAGUAGCAAUAUAACUGUGAAGAGAGAUGAACUGUAAGUAAGCAUGCAACAACCACUACUGUAGUUAUAUGCCUCAACCGGACGGGAAGUCCAAAUAUCCUCAAUCUGUAUCGUGGUGUCGGUCUAAGGUCCUCAGGCAAGCCACAACCGCUCUGUUUGGCAUAUAACCCUAGCAAAUGGUCGCUGGGCUCACGAAUUGGCAAUCAACCACUUUUCCGAAAAAAGAACACCUAACUGUGGGGGAUCAGACUGCUGGUAUUCGUAAAAUGUUGUCGAGCUGUGGCGAUUGAAUAUGAUCAAUAGCCAAUUGUCGGUGAAUAGCCGGCAAUCAUCGCCCAUCAGGGCACACCAACCAAUAGGUCAUCGGAAAAAUACUAGUAUACGAGCACUGACCACUCAGGUCAACCGGAAUGGACAAGGUCAACAUCCUUACGAGUAUGCAAGUAUCGACCCCUCAGGUCAACAAGAAGUACGAGGUCAACAAUGACAAGAGUACAAGGGAAUCGACCACUUUGGUCAUCUAGGAUGUAUCCACGAGAACCGACUACUCAGGUCAACAACAACGCGUCCAAGAGAACGGAUCACUCAAGUCAACAAUGGGGUGUGCAAAGAACCAACCACUGAGGUCAACAAUGGCGCGUUUACAGGAACCGACCACUCAGGUAAAAAAUGAUGUAUAUGAUCAUGUAUAGGCAAUCUCCACCGCUUUACUUCUAGGUCAUGGCAAACAAGAGGAGUAUGCUAAGUAGUGCUAAAGUCAAAGUCAUGUGGUGUAAAGCUCAAGUAUAAGAUAUAUGCAGGAAGUAAAAGGAAAUGGCGGAGGGAACAUCACCGAGCGUGCGCCACUGAACCGACUUUGAAUCGAAGUACCCACUGGUGUCGCAGCUGUACUUAGCUCUCGUGGUGUGCAAAACCAUCGAUCGGACCUACCACCGAGUCAGAAACCAAACCUACUGACUCAAAAGACAUCGCUCACAAAUCCAAAACCACCCGUGGAAUCGGUUUCCCAAAACCAAUUCUUGAACUCAUCGGAAAUCCCAAAAAUGCACUGGGAUGCCCGUAGGACCCACGAAACGUCCUGAAACACACCGACUCAUGUCGUGAGUCACUCGCUACCCUAAAACACAUCCAUUUGAGUGUUCGAGCAGCAAAAACAAGCACCAAGGUCCACACGGUUGUCGCCGGUCGACCGUUUCGCUCCAGGCUUCCGGAACACCGAAAGUCUCCGCUGCUCGCCUGUCGCCUCCAAACACACAAGGUGACCCCAAUAGCUAAUCAAUAGGGCUAGGCGAUGAUUUUCGGGGCGACCACGCAGCCGGAAACUCGUUACUACGCGAAAUCGCAUUCUACCAUUGAUUUCGCCGAAAAACUCACCGAAAUCCCUCCGCCGCUCAUCCACCGCCUCUGAACUUCGAAGGUGGCAGUAGCAAUCAGCCAACAAGGCUUGGUGGGGUCUCCAGGGCAUUCGAAUGGCCAACGUGCGAAAACUGCAGCAUAAACCGCGUUCGAUUGGCGAAUUUCCACCAAACGAUGCCGUGGGACCCCGUUUCCACUCCGCGACGACUCUCGGACCUUCAACGAUCAGUCGAGAGGUUGCUAACUGUGACGCCCCGACUUCCCAGGGGGUCACCUAUUCUAGGAUUACUCCUAUCCUAGCACGCUUAACUCUCUUAACCUCUUGGGCCUAGCCACCGCCCAAAAUGGUUAAGCCGGGUUAAGAGUUUUAGUUCUAUUAAUAUCUUACAUAUAGGACUACCUGGGUCUCGCAUUCGUCCCCCCUUAACCCCUAAGGUCCUCGUCAGGCUCAGACUCACAAAUACAAGGCUAUGUGAGACUCGUCUUGCUAGCCUAAGCCGACCUUGUAGUGAGCUGCGCUCCACCCACAACAGUCAACCGCAUGAGAGCUUCGCUCUUCCUGCUGUAUAAUCCUGACUCAGCCGAGACUAAUCUCACACUUCCGGCUGGUAAUUGGCUUAAUAUCAACUGUGACGCCCCGACUUCCCAGGGGGUCACCCAUCUUAGGACUACUCCCGUCCUAGCAUGCUUAACUUUCUUAACUUCUUGGGCCUAGCCACCGUCCAAAAUGCUUAACUUGGGUUAAGAGUUUUAGUCCUAUUAUAUCUUAUAUAUAGGACCACUUGGGGUCUCACACUAACAGCGAUUACACGUUGUCGGAGGCUAUGCGCGAGGUCCCCAUUGCAUAAAACUUGCAAUCAGCCCAACAUAGCAUUAAUUACUAAUCAAUUAAUACAUAAACACGAGUUUCGAGCUCGUUACCCUGAUCCGCGUCGCAACGGAUCCAUCUAACUAGUCGAUUUGAUUCGUCUCCACGCGAUGAAGCUCGUGCUCACUGUCCGGAGCGCAAUUGACGAUCGGAGGGCCUCGAAACAGCGGAAACAAGCCUACGAAAGCAUGCUGCCGGAAGCGGCCAAGUCUCACGCGCGUAUCGAAGCUUCUCUAAUUGCAGCGAAGGUGAGCACGGGUCUCCACAAGGCCUCGGGAGUGCGGUGCUCACGUCUCGAGCGCUUGCCGAAGUCUCCGGUGGCCGGAAAAAGAAGCUCGUCCAACCCAAGUUCUAGAAAUCCACCUUGGCAGCAUCACUCGGGCUAGGGCUUCUUGUUGCCGAUGGUCGGUGGCAUGGCAAGGUAGGCCCUGGUCAGGGGAGGGUCAUCGCACCCAGGGGAGAUGGCCGGCGGCCCUGGUCAGCGGCAGGAGGUGGCGGUGGCACAGCGGCGGCGAUGGAGGCCAACAAAGGGCCACGGCUAGGGCAUCGCGGAUCUCCGCAGCGGCGUAUCGGGAUGGCGAGGGGCGGCACCAGCGGACCUGUCACGCCCCGGGACCGCUACCAAUUUGGUACGAUCCGGGCGCGUCGAACAGACGCCGAACGGACAGCACCUCCCCUGUCCGCCCAAGGCUAAACAACAGGAUCAUGUACAACAAGUUCCCAGGAAAUCAACUUGAAUACAUACAUGAUCAAAACAAUAGCGAGGGCACAACCAGUGCCGAACAUUACAAGAGCAAGCAUCACAAGUAUAAACAAGUGAAUAAAAGAGAGAUAUAACUAUCUAUUACAUCACAUUUGACAUUCAACAUUUAAUACAACUUGGUUACAUUUAAGCUUCCAAAAUGAAUACAUAAUCAUAUCACAUAUACAUAAUGCUAGCUAUCCAAAAUACAUCAUGUCAUCUAUAACCAUGCACACGAGGGUGCUCUAGUACAAUAGGAAAGCUCUACUAGCUAGCUAGGGAAGCUCGCUUUAUAAAAAUAAUAGGAAUUAAUACACGACAGUGGAUUAAGUCAUGCUUUAUAUUGUUCCCACUGAUUUAUGUUCAAUGCAUUGUUAUUUUUCUUUUAUUGCUCGAUUGUAUGUUACAAUUUCUUCAAGGACAAUGCGAAGCGUAAAAAAAAAACUUAAACUAUUUUUAAAUUUCUACUGGUUUGUAUGUCAACACAUAAUAAGCACUGCAGACGCGCUAGCAAUAAACUUACUACUCACUCCUAUAUUUUCUUACAGGGGGACUGAUCGUCUGAAAGCAUACUACUUCCGACCGCAUUACACACUCGACAGCAGCUUAGAAGGAUCGAAGCUCUUCAGGAAUGCUCUUUCCGGCUAGACUCCGAAAAGCAAACUCGUCCUUAUAAAGACAUUACUGAUAUAACUUACUAUCAAAACAGCCAAACUGUUGGUAGCCCAAACUACUCUUAUACAUAAUGCACUAGCUAAUUCAUCCAAAAGCUACUUGUAUUGUUUCUUUAAUUUUACUGACAAAGUUGAAUUGCAUGGAAAAAUAAUUUCCCUCUCACUCAACUAAGUAUUUGUAGUUGGACAUACAUGGCUCCCCAAUAGUUUACAUAUGCCAUAAAUUUAAUAGUAAACUCUCGAAUGUAUAACAAGGUAACUUGAAUGAAUUGUGCGACUUAUGGAGUGCCUACCUGUCGAUUGUAUCUGAUCGCCAGCGACGCGGCUUCGUGUCUCAUUGGAGGAGUCUAACAGGAACCGAGGCACCCGACGGAUUCUAGUACAGUAUGCACGCCGCGCUAGAGUGAUGGACAGUCGGAGCUCGUCACUAACUUCAGACAGAGGAUAUGCUCUGAGCUCGUAUAAACUUCAGGGAAGGAUGGUCGCAGCACCUACCUAUGGCGGGAGUUUGCUUAUAACAACAAUGUAUCAGCACACAAAUGGCGCCCUCGAAUGCACUUUAUGGACGAAGUGUAGAUCGCCACUAUCAUUGAAAGCACGAAGUUGGCGAGAGUGCUUUAGCCCGAUUGUGCCUCCAGGGUAAGUGAGACAAGUUCGAAUUGCCGGAGCCGACUUUUGACGCGCGAGUAGACAGAGGACUGACGCCUGGAUCGACGACGGGCGAGACUUGGAGUUCAAGUUGGAGACCAUGUUUUUCUUGAAGGGUCUCGCCAACUAGAGGAAUCGAGAGAUUCGGAUCCGGUGGUAAAGUUGAUUCCCCGUUUCACAUUGGAACCGCAUGAGAUCCUUGCAGCGUGUUAGGUCGUGUAUGCGUAUCGGACUUGCUCUAACCACCCGACCUAAUCGGGCGUGCAUCACUUUUCACGUAUCCGGUACUGCGAGGUACAUUAUGAUUCCAGCUCAUGGUUUUGGAAGUCUGUUACAGUGCAAUGGCGAGGAUUGAGCUUCGAGGAGCACACCAGUGAAAGAUUUUGGAAUUCGCGAAGUGAAGAAACUGCGGAGUCGGGAUAUCGUAAUGUGAAGGUUCUUGUGGCAGCAACCACGCGGAGGCGAGGCCACGCUGGAGGCUAGAGACCGCUGCCAGAGCGCUAAUCCCCCCAUCUUUUCAGAUGGAUGGCCUUGAGGUAAUGCUCUUGCUUUCGAGUUUCGGCGGACGAAACUCUUUUAGCGAGGUGAAAUGUAGCACACUGGACCGCUUUGCAAAUUGGCGAGGCUUCGAGUGUUCGAUUUUGUAUUUCCGACUUUUCCACACUUUGUGGAGGCCGUCGAUGGUAUACCGGCCUAAAAAUUCGAUCUCGAGAGUUUUGGCAUGAGUCGCUGAGGAGUUUUUACUCUCAGGGAAACCGGUCGAGCAGAGACCGGCCCCCCCGCAGUGAACAUGCUGGCGCAGCAGCCGAGGGCAACCGUCCUAGCAGUUGAGCAUCCGGGUCCCCGGCGCGUCUGCCGGCGCGGAGAGACCGUCGCAGGGAGAGAUGCCGGGUCCCGAACGUGGACUAUUCGGGGGGCAGCUGAGAGACGGUCCAGGUGGGAGAUCGGUCCUUGGGCGAAAAACUGCCCAGUCCGGCGCUGAUUGUAAUGUGAGUUUUAGGGGCCUAAUGUGGAUUUUGUUACUUAGAGGCUAUAAGCAGGCCUCUCCUCUCCCUCUCACUCUCAUUUUUCUCUUCCUCACAUCUUUCUACACUUCUAGAGAGAGAAAGGGAGGAGAAGAAGGAGAAGGAGAGGAGAAGAAGCUUGCUUAGAGGCCGUUGGAGGCAUCAUCUUCGCCUCAUUUUCCACCUUUGGUGGCUUGAACUUGCGGUUGGAGCGUUGUGAAGGAUCACAACCUCAACCCUACUUGGUUUUUGAGCUUGGAUUGGGGCUUCUCUGAGUUGGUAGCUUGUAAUCAUUUACUACUUGUUCCUAGGUUUUUUCUAGAAUGAAACUAGAUUUUGGAUUUAGGGUUUAUUUUGGGGGUUUUUGGAUUUGAGGGUUUAUGCAGACCUAAUGAUCGGUUUGAACCCUUUAUAUAGGUUACGAUUGAAGACUUCCUACCUUCCAUUUGAGGAUUAGAGAGGGUUUUCUACUGAGGUGAGUUUUCUCGCAACCCUAGCUUGAGGCACUUAAUGAUUGAGCUAUUUGCUCUUCGUUUCGUUUGGGUGACCCUUUUGAAUGUUUCUAGGGUUACUAGGGAGCGUGUGGGAUAUCUUCGUUCGGCGAACGAAGAAGUUUGGAUUCUUUUGGUGGUUGACUUGCAUAAAUUGGCAAAAAUGGCCCCCAUGCCUUCUAAUAAACUUUUCGUAAAGUAUUUUUGAAUGCAAUUCAUGCUAAACAUGAUUUAUAUGAAUAUUUAGAACACUUAACAUGCAUGCCUCAUUAUCGUAAAAAUUGUACUCCAUAAGUAGAGCUAGUAAUGUUAAGAUUGCAUGCAAUUGUGGAAGUGCUAUGGUUUUGGCAGUUGAGAACAUGACUCCAUGCUAGAUUGAUGGAACUAAUGCAGUCAUGAACAUGUUAAUCCAUGCUUGGACUCGUGAACAAAAGUGAUCAAAAAGAGGCAACUUGGAAUAGUAAUAUCUAUAAAAUGCAAUUAGAGACAUGAUUAUAGGCCAUUGUACAUCUCUGAUAUUCCAUGUUAGAGACAUGAAUGACAUACGAGAUAGGCUUUGAGACAUGCUUACAUUCCAUGUUAUUUAGACUGAGGAUUGGUACAUGCGACCAGAUCGUUUGACUACUUUGCCAUUGUGCUCAUUCGCACAUGCUUGUGAGGGUUCGCUCCUACAAGCCGGCACCGGAGAUGGCCAUCGCUGAUACAUAUUCGCCCGUGCGGGAUUGGCGCCGAAAUGGAUUGCCCGUGGGCAAAGGCUCAUUCUAGGGUGGGGAUGUUCGACUACCCCGGGCCAUUAGCCGGCACCAUUGGCCAGACAGCCUUUCGGUGGUCUCCAGCCAUAAGACGCCUUCGGUGGGUCUCUUCAGAUUUGACUUGAGUAUUCCUAUAUGACAUUGACAGAUGAGACUUAGAGUUUCAUUUGGACAUUUGACCUAGAAAUAGUAAACAACUGAACUUUCACUAUUUCGGAUUGGUGAACAUUUGAUAGUUGGAACUUUUAUUUCUCCAUAGUUGUUUCAUACUUAUGUAAUUACGCUAAGGUAGAGAUAAUCAUGUUGUUAGUAAGGUUCAUUAUUUUGCUUACCUUUCCACUUUUCUACUGUUAUCUGUNNNNNNNNNNNNNNNNNNNNNNNNNCGCUAUGCCCUUACCGCGAUACACUGCCGGUCCGCUCACAUGUGUACCUGUACCCCAACCACACGGGGUAGAAACUAUAUAAAUAUAGUUCCAGUGGGUUCGGCCGCCGACUCCGCCGAUCUUCCACUAGGCUAAGCUUGCACAGAUAGAUAGAUAGAAAGAUAGAUAGAUAUUGAACUGCAACUAUGAUCUAUUUGUGCCAUCAAAUGCAAGCAAUGCAUGAAAUAUCAACUAGCAAUAAGCCUACUAUCAUGAGUAAUAUGCUUCAACGAUGUAAUGAAUACAAAUACGACAUAGUUAUUGCAAUCCAUAACAUACUACUAUAUCUAAUCAGGGUAUGAAUGCAAAUCCACUUAUGCUAUUCAUGUCAAUUACCCAAUCCACUAGGCUACCCGCCCUUGUCUCAAAUCACGUAGGUGAAGGACUACCCCGCCUUGUUCACCCGUCCACAACUCUAACACUAUAGGUAAAGAGCUACCCGCGCUCCUCGCCCAACUCAUGACUCAAAUGCUAAGGGCAUGAGGCUACCCCGCUCAUAGGUAAAAGCUACCCCGCUCAAAGGUCAAGAGCUACCCCGCUCGUAGGUAAAGAGCUACCCCGCUCAAAAGGUCAAGAGCUACCCCGCUCAAAGGUAAAGAGCUACCCCGCUCAUAGGUAAAGAGCUACCCCGCUCAAAGGUCAAGAGCUACCCCGCUCGUAGGUAAAGAGCUACCCGCUCAUAGUAAAGAGCUACCCCGCUCAAAGGUCACAGGAGAAGAGCUACCCCGCCCUUCGCCCGACUCACUUCCCAGUCCAAAUGGUGGAGCUACCCGCUCGUAUCCCACCCAAUGAGACCCCGCUCGUGUGACAACUGGGAAUACCCUGUCAACUAGGUUAACCAUUCACUUGAUAUUCCACCUAUCCCUAGGUCCAUGCCAAGUGUUUCAACCAUAUCAAAUCUCAAUGCCACUCACCUAGGUCUAAGCAACUCUAGGUUCCACAAACAUAGGUUUAAUGUCAACCUAUGUUUAACAACAUUAUAUUAAUGCCACCGAUCUAUCCUAGGUUCACGACACUAGUUUAGAUGCCACAUAAUCUCCAUAAUUAACAAUAGGUUAACAUUCAUUUCAUCUAGCAUAUAUGUAUCUUAUAAGGCCAACAUGCAUCAUAAUGCUAAUAUGCCAUAAUCAACUAGCAUGCAAUCCAUUCAUAAUGCUAACAUGCAUACAAUCUCCAUUACACUAGUUCACAUGUCACUAGUUUCAUUGUCAAGGUCCAAGUUCUAUAUUUUCUUAUCAUCAUAGGAUCUCAUGUCUCAACCUUAAUCAUCAUGCAUUCUAGAUUUAAGUGUCAAGUCUAUAAUAACUACACAACUAGACAUGCAUUCAAAGGAAGGUAGAAAUGUAACUAUACAUAUAUCCUAUAAUGCAUAAGAACAUAUAUAUGAGAUAUGAUCAACUAUUUUACCGUCGACAUAGAAGGAAGCCCGAUUGCUCGGAUAGACACCCCACCUCUUUAUCGCAUACCGAUUGCUCGUCGUCAUCGCAAUCGGCCUGCCGCGGCACACGCCGCUCGGCUUGACCCAAUCGCGUGCGGACCGCCAGACGACCUCCGAUCCGCGAUCCGAAAAUUAAAGGUCUUCUUUUCUAUUACGAUGCUUACAAAUCCGUUUCCAGGACUUUUACGACGUCGCCUCGGCCCUCUAGGCGGAAACGAAGCCUAAACGCCCGUUUCUUUAAUAACCUUGUACCGGCUCAACGAAUCGCCGAACUGUCGCUUCCAACGCGUUCAGGACCUAGUCAAUUAGGGUUUACGGAGGGUCAAAUUAGAUCAUACCCUCAUAUUUCAAAAUAUAGCAUUUUGAGCCCUAACAUGCCAAUUACCCCAAAUAAUCCAAAUUAAAUGGGAGCAAUAUGCUAAUAAUGAUCAUUAGAGGCUUACUAGAACCCUUUAAAGCUAAGAUUAAGCCAAAUCCCAAAAGCUUACCCCAAUAUGAACGCCGCAACGAAAACACGUCGCCUCCAACGGGCCACGAAAGCUCAAUACCGUCGCCUCCAACGCGUUCGCAAGCUCGAUCUCCACCAACGCCGCGAAUUUGGGCGAGAAAUAUAGGAGGAGAUGAGAAGAUAUUUAGAGAGAGAAAAAGGAGAGAGUUCUCUCACUACACAUGAACGUAUGGUAGUGUAAUGGUGGUGCGCUGAUGGAGAGGAGAAGCCUAGUAGCUUCUACUUAUAGUCAACCUCAAUAGUAGCAUUACACUAUUCACAUCAGGCAGCUCCAAACUCUGAUUACUUUCGCCCGGAACUCCCUGAAUAUCCGUUUUGAGCUCAAAUCUGACAGUCAAUAUUCGGUUUUACUUAAAGAGUCCAAAAGAAAUUUAAUCUUUCAGUUCGACCGCCGUUUGGUCACCGAAAACUGUGCCGAACUGCAAUCUUUAUCAGAUGGCUGUUCGGUUUUAUUUCUCACACUACGGGUGUCAGAAUGGCGAUGAAAACUUAUUAUAUCUAGCCUCAUAAAAAUAUUUCUGACAUCUCUGGCAAUUUUCAUAAUUUUCUGAGACUUGCAUUUUCUGCUAAUUUAUCUGCCCGUUUCCAACAGAAAAUUCUAAAUCUUCUGUUUUAAUUCCGAUUUCAGCACAGGUCAUUCCCAAUUUAUAUUUCACUCUCAUAAAUCAAUAAAAAUAGUAUCUCAUACUAUUUUUAUAUUAUUUCCAAUUUUUUUUUAUAUUAAAUCCGGUAUUACAUACACCGCAACCUUACCGGAACCAUUCAAAUGGCCUCCAACCAAAUGGACACCGUAGCUUCAUGAAUUUUAGAAGUCCGGUACCUUACAUCCUCCCUCCUUAAAAGGAGUUUCGUCCUCGAAACCGAAUAACACUCACUUCAAAACCGAAUCACACCUCAACUCGACGUAUCGACGACAUAGGGUUCCAAUGCACUUUUUAUACUCCGGGAUGGCCUUCACUCAUUGAAUCAUCAAGAGGCCCACCACAGAGGAUGUGAGACUAGAUUCACUCACUUUUGCUAAGCGUAUCCGAAAGUGCAUUACGAGUCUCCGUCAUUCUUGGUGGUUAGCCAAGUCGAAGCUCAACAACUCUACGCGCUCUCGAACACCAUUCACCAUUUUGAAUGCAGAAACUCUUCUUUGCAUUCACUUUCCCCCUCGGGCAUUCCGAUUCGAUACCAACAUUGCUCAAAAGCAAUUAUCAUUUGGUGCAUCCACGAAGGUCGCGAUAGGUGAUUCAACCACAUAUCGGACUUCGCGGUCUACCGCGAUUCUCUCCCACUGACAUCUUUUGUAGCUUUGGGCCUUGUGGUGCAUUCACUGAAGUCAGUAAUUGCCCACUGGGAACUAUUUUAAUAGUUCUCACGCCCCUGUUUUAUGGUUUCCUUUUCAGAGCUUUCGGCACCGGCGGAGGCAUGGGAUCGCGGCAAGGGAAUCGCGUAGCUAGCUAGCGAGGAGCGGUACUUGCCUAGGUGGUUUACUCUUUCUUUUGUAGUUGAGAGAGUGAGAGUUUUUGUAUCCAUGUAUAGAGACCACCUAUGUACCUACCUAUAGCACUUGUAUCUGGGAUUUUCUUGUAUCACUUUAUGUUUUAUUUAGUGGACUUACAGUUUCAUCCUUAUCCCUUGUUGUAGCAUCUAGACUUUUAUUAUGCUUUGAUACUCCUAGAUGUCUUGUAUUAUUGCUUUUAUUAUUGUUGUUUUUAGACGCCUUAUAUGUUUUAGACGUAUGGCGGGUUUGGGCACGCGCCGGGCGGGCUUCCGCUGGGUCCCGGGGCGUGACACACAGGCACUUAGGCGGCACAAGCUGGACUACCUUGGGUAGGUCCCUAAUUGGAAAUGAAAACCGACAUAGAGUUGAGUGUGUGACAAUCACUACUAGAUAGAGAGUAGUAGUUGGAUUACCUGGGUUUGCUUCUAGCAUAGUGUUGGACACAUGAGUAUGCAUAUAUACAUGUAGUAUGCUUGGAGAUGUUGCCAUUACAUUCAUAUAUAUAAUGUCGCCAUGUUAAAGUAUAACCAUCAUAGCUACAUAGGGUAAAUCUUGAAAGUACUCGCGAAUAUGUAGAGACAUGCUAGUCAUGACAAGGUAAAAGUGCAUCAUAUAAAUGCCAGAUCCAAUUGCAAAGUUGUAAUUUAGCAAUUUUAUUUAUGCUUUCACAUUUGCAAUUUAUUUCUUGUUAUAACUAUCUUGGACUUACCCCUUUCUCUUUUGAGGCCUAGUGGUGCAUUGAGCUGAGGUCAGUAAUUGCCCACUGGGAACUAUAAAUUAUAGUUCUCACGCCCUCUGUUUUAUGUUUUCUUUCAGAGCCUUCCACGCCGGGAGAGGCUAGGGAUCGCGGGAAGGGAGUUUCUUCGAGCUAGCUUCCUUCGAGGACGAUUUGAUAGGUGGUCUACCUCUCGUGGUUUUAUUUUGGGAGAGGUUGUGAGUUGUACCUGUAUAUGUAUAGAGACCACCCUUCUUUUGGAUCUUUGUAUUCCUUUUGAGGAGAUAGUACUGUACUACUUUAUGGCUACUUUUAUUGUCUAGCUUUAUUUCUUUAC
Molecule: long non-coding RNA, 70499 nt
Filed under: Ananas comosus (pineapple)
Lineage: Eukaryota; Viridiplantae; Streptophyta; Magnoliopsida; Poales; Bromeliaceae
Description: long non-coding RNA (ACOM_LNC023480)
Source: RNAcentral